CUUGUUAAACAUAUGUCUUUGAUACGAUACGAUGUUAAUUCAUUUUAUUUUAUUCUUUACCAGUAUUACGUUAAGAAGUCCAUUUGCACGCACCCCCUUUUGAGCAUGGGAACGUACGCCAGAAUCCAGCUCAGCAAGGGGAGAAACCUAGUAUUUUGCAAAUGAGGAGGGAGUUGGAGCGGAUGAAAUCGGCUCUCGAAACGAAAGGCCGCCUUUUUCAACCGCAUAUGAAAGACUAUCUCUUAAAAGAGAUUACGCUCCUCACUAACAAAAUAAGCUUCAAUAUGCUCUUUCAGAUAUGGUACAUUUGCACCCUCUAUACACAUCGGAAAAUCCUGCGCUGACGAAAAGGAAUGUGUAGGCAGGUGAUUAAAUUUACUCUUGGAAAGAAAAACGGAGAAUGUUUUCAACCGCAUUUGAAAGACUCUCUUUUAAAAGAGAUUCCAUUUUUGCAGAGUCGUAUUCGUCUUAGUGACAACAUGAAAGAAGGAUUUUUUGUAUUUAUAUGUUUUUUCGUGCAAUCGAUUAUCUACUGAUGAGUUGAUGUACCUGUAUAUAUUUUUGGGUAAAAUAUACUUCUUUUUACCCCCGUGUAAUAAGCUCAAUCGAGAGUUGUAUUCGACUUAGUGACAACAUGAAAGAAGGAAUUUGUAUUUAUAUGUUUUUUUUUUGUCUAAUGAAUUAUUUACUUAUGAGUUGAUUUAUUUCAAUUUGAUUUGUUCAUUGUGAAAAUACUGUGUGUAUGUAUUUUUGGGCACUAUGGUUUAUGGAAUGGCAACGAAUAUAUGCAAGACGAAAAUUACUAAGUGCAAGACCUUACUUUAUGCAAGACUAAUAUAUAAAUAAAUUUACUAAGAUCAAGAUUGGAAAUUACAAAUAUAACCCCAAUAUUAAUUUAGAUAUUAUUAAUUCAAAUUAGGCUAAUUGCUAUUGCAAGACAAAAAAAAAAAAAAAAGGAAUAAAGAAAAGGAAAAAAGAGGGAACUCACUCCCCCAACAAAACCCCAACACUCAUAUUACACACUUUUUUCCACAAAAAAAUCUUCCAUAUUCUCCAAAACCCUCAUCACACAAAUCCCUCAAAUCUUACUAAAACUUGAAAAGAAGGACAUUAUGGAUACACAAGACAUAAAUAUGGAGGAUUUUAAGGUCGAAGAACACAAAAAGGUAAGAAAUAUUGUACUUUGUGAUCGUUUUUCUCGUUUUUCGCACCUCAUUUCACGUACAAAAAAUUCGACAUGUACAUGUCGAAAUAUGCUCCGAAUAUCGACACAUUAGUGUCGAAAAUUUCAACAUAAAUCGACACUCUUUUCUUGUCGAUUUUUAUUGAAUUUUUCAACACUGUGGUAUCGAUAUUCGGUGCAUAUUUCGACACUGGUGUGUCGAUUUUUCACUGUUACAAUUGUUUAACCAAAAAUCGACACCAAUAUGUCGAAAUAUUUCCAAAAAAUCGACAAGUACAGGUCGUUUUUUGUAAAAUCGCAACUCCUUCAACAAUAGUGCUAGAAUCGAACCCUAAAAUUAUCAACUAUGUUCUAAAAUGACUUGUAUUCAUUAUUCUAACAAUAAAAUCAUGUUUAUCACAUUUUAUUUCUCAAAAAAAAUUAACUCAAAAAGUAAUUUUCUUACUUUCUUUUCGUGAGACUGCUGUGGCGGGGUUGAGGCAACAACAGUUGCAGGUGGGGAGGUUCUAGUGGUUGUCGACUGCAACGGCGACGGGGCGACGGCGAAGGGCGGCAGCGAGUGCUGCAAUUGAUUUUUUUCCCUUCUUCCCUCCUCGUUUUUUAGUUCUCAUUUUUCAAUUUAUUUUUUCUUUCUUUUUUUAUUAAUUUUUGUUUUUUAAAUUAGUCUUGCAAAAGUAAAUUAAUAAAAGAAUUUUAUUUUUUUUGGUAUUUUACUAAGGCUAUUAUAGUCUUUUUAUACUUAGUUUGAUAAAAAAAAAAUUAAUUUGGUCUUGCUCUAAGUAAGUUUGUGAUUGCAAAUAGUCGCUGUCUUAUGGAAUAUUUACCCCUUUUAAUUUGAAAAUUGUCAUUUACCCCUCAACUAAUGAGUCAACCUAUUUGACUACUAAAAUAGUGAGGUGGUUUAAAUGAAAUGUAAUUUUAUCCUCAAAAUUUUACAUCAUUUUUUAUUAGGUUGAGGCUAUAUGCAAGACUAAUUUCACUUGUGCAAGAUCAAAUUAAAAUUUUCAAUAUAUAAAUACUAUAAUACCCUUAUUUGUUAAAAAAUAGAAAAUUUCAAAUGUGCAAUACCAAAAACUCAAAAACAAAAAAAACUCUAUCACAAAACCACAAAACCAACUCUCAUAAAUCUUUCUCCUUCCUCAUCUAUAAACCCACAAAACCUAAACAUUCAAAAUCAUCAAAACUCAACAAAUCUUACAAAGAUGGCAAGUAUGGAGUCAAUAGACAUCAAAAUAGAAGAAUCUACGGUAGAAUAAUCCAAGAAAUUAUGCAUUUAUGUGUUUUUUUUAGCUAGAAUAUCGUUUUUCCAAAAACAAUCCCGCGCAGACACAGUCGACGUGUACAUGUCGAAUUUUAUAGGCAAAAAUCGACAAUGAGAUGUCGAUUUUGUAGUACAAAAUCGACACCUUAGUGUCGAAAUUUAAUUGUUAGUAAAUUAGGCUAAAUAUACUAAAUUUCGACAUUAAGGUGUCGAAUUUAUGGACAUAUAUUCGACACCUUAAUGUCGAAAUUUAGUUGUUUCAUAUUUCGACAUGUACAUGUCAAAUUUUAUAGGUAAAAAUCGACAUUGAGAUGUUGAUUUUGGAGUACAAAAUCGACACCUUAGUGUCGAAAUUUAACUGUUAGCAAAUUAGUCCAAAAUUUACUAAAUUUCGACAUUAAGGUGUCGAAUUUAUGGACAUAUAUUCGACACCUCAAUGUCGAAAUUUAGUUGUUUCAUAUUUUAUUAUUAUUUGUUAUUUGGUCUUGCAUGAGCAAACAAAAACCAAUUUAAUUUAUGGGUAUAUUUGUCAUCUCAUCUUAAUAAAAUAGAAUAUUUUGGAAUCUUUCUUUAAUUUGGUCUUGCACAAGUGAAAUUAGUAUUGCAUAUAGCCGCAGCCUUUUUAUUAUUAUUGUCCUUCACACAUGAUACCUUAUUUUUAUAAUAGGAAAUUAAUUUUUAUACUGUGAAUAAAUUUAAAUAAAUGUUUUGGGUUAGUUUCAUUUUUUAAAUUGAUAAAAUUAUUUACUUUAAUUAUUAUUUUAAAAAAAAUAUUUUUAACAUUAAAAUUUAUAUAAUUAGUUAUAACUAGAAUUUAUGUAAUUUGUAAUUUGAAGUCCAAAUGUUUUUUUUUUUGUUGGAUUAAAUUUCAUUGAAUUAAUAUAAAGUGUAUAUUGUGUUGAUUUUUUUAUUCAUGAAAUCAAUUUAUAAAUAACAUUGAAAAAAAAUAUAUGAUUAAAGUAUUACCAUUAUCAUAAAGGCUAGUACCAAUCUCUUAAUUAGGAAUUAUUAUAACUAGCCUAUAUUAAAUCUCAUGUGGAGAAUAAUGUUAAAUGUUGUGCUAAAAUUUUAAAUAACGAAAAUAUUUCCGAUUUUAAGAGUGAGUUAAAUGGCAAUUCGAUUGGUACUUAUAAUAUAAGACCCGAUCCCAAAAGGAUAAAAAUAAUUUUAUGUAAAAUCAUUUGAUUGUUAUAGAAAAUAAAUGGCAGUGGUUUGGGUUGAUGCAGAUACAAUUAUUCGUCUGCUCUUAUUCUCGAAAACAGAAGUUGAAACUUUAUAAUUUGAAAUCAUUAUUCGAAUAAAGAUUAAAUUUAAUUAAAAUAAAGCCGCAAUUUUUCCCAGCCAUUUAUUUUUUUGUUAACCAGUAAAAACACAGUUCAAUUUUUGGAUUGAAAAAAUGAUUCGGAAUUUGUAAAUAUUUUUUGAAUUAAGGGGUUUAUACAUUUUUUAUUCGAGGUGAAUUGAAAAACAAAAAUAGUCUAGAUUAUACUAGAUCCUCUACCAUAGUCCAGUUUCGAACCCUUUAAAGCGUUCUUUGUGAGAUCACAUUUUACUUGUAACUUAUAUAGCACGGACAUGAAAAAGGUGAUACGGAAAAACUGACACGGGGAAAUGAUAUAUUCUAAAAAUGAAGAUAUGGGAACUCGGGGGAAAUGUGUGACUAUUAAAAUUAUAGGGGUAUAAUUAUAAAUAUAUAAACUUAUAUAAGUUUUUAUUUAUAUAUGAAUUAUUUUAUAUUUUUUCACACAAACAUAUUCAAAAUGAAUUGUACUAUCAAUCAUCGAUUUGAAAUUGAUCAUUAAAUCGUGUAAAUAAUUAGGGAAACAACAAAACUAUUUAAAUAUUUGCUAUUCAAACAUGUUUACAACUUUCAAAAAUUAUAAAUUGGCCAUAAUGUGUCUGGCAAGUGUUCUCGGGUAUUCGAAACGUUAAAAGUUAAAGUUUCCGUACUACAUAGCUGAUAACAUAUUAGUGAGAGGUUGGGGUUUAAACCAUUUAAAGGUUGUUUAUUAAUUAUUGAUGGACAACAAUAUUAAUUAUUAAAUAUAAUAAAAAUUGUGAGUAGACAUCACCACCAUAAGGCGAAGAGAAACGUUUUGGAUUCUUCAAUUUGAAAACAACAAUAAUAAAAGGAUUUAACUGCAACAAGUGUUAAUUAGAGGGGUUGAGGUGAUAUUAACUCUUAUUUCAAGGGGUUUAAACUAUAAUAAAUACAUACUUACAAAUUGAUCAAAUAAGCCCUUUUCCGAUGAUCAGUUUAAUCUCUCUCUCCUCACUAAACCCCGUACGUCAUGCCAACCGUCGCCGCCGUCACCCGCCGUUAUCCGUUCGCCGCCGUGGGAGGAGGAGACUGCGAAGGCGGCGAUGGAGCUGGUGAAGAGAAACACACAUGCCAACAACAGAGCUCUGAUUGUUGAUUUGCCGCGAGCCUUUAAAGGAUGGCUAUUUCCAGAUUGUAAGCCAUGAAAUUUACUGUUUGGGGCUAAUUACGGUUAAAAGUCCAUAAAUUAAUACAGCCGGGGCUUGCAAAAUACUGUUAAUUUAGCGAAAUAUUACAUUAUCGAAGCUUCUACUGUAUGUGGAAAUGUAAUUGCAUUACUGUUUGCCUUUCUUAUGAUACAAUUAUGUUAAUUGUAGUUAGAAACUAUGGAGAACAUCUGGCUGCUGUUAUAUUUAUAUAUACUUAAUUACUGUUUAACAUGAUUUUUGGGUAAUUGGUCGAAUAUGUUGGUGAGUAUUUUGGUGAUUAUUGUAUUUAUUUACUAUAAUUUGUUUUUUGGUUAUUGUGAUAAUAAUGCCCUAAAUGUGCCAACUGCUGCAAUUUCUGUUGUCGUACAUUAAUUUUUAUCUCCCCAGAAACUCCAUGGUCGUAGGUUAUAGAAAGGCGUGUUACGUUGUUUGACUUACAAUCUUGCAUGCGUGGCUAUCCUGCUUCUCUCUGUUGUAUUAGCUACUAUAGGAUUAGCAUCAAUUUUCUACUCCUUUACUAUAAGUUGUUUUGUAAAAAAAGUUCAAAUGUUUUUCGACCAACAACCUGAAAGAAUUCAAUGUGAAUUGAAUGAUACGUAUGGGUUAACAUCCUUCUUAUCACUGUUGAUUCUAUACACCUUCUGUGUUAUGUGCAUCUUUAAUACAUAUGUGAUCUUCCCACGUCUGUUUUUUAUUAUAUUUGUAACCAUGGAAACUCGAGGUUUGAAGUCAUUAUCAAAUUUCUGCUAAUUUUGCAACUGGUGAAGUUAAUCUAUGUCACAUAUUCUCUAUAGGAAAUUCCACGUCCAAAAAUUAUGACAUCUUAUUGGUAACUUGAUGGUUCGUACUAAUUUUACUUCUCAUUAUUUGAAGGAAUAUGGGGCAUUAUCGCGAGUUGGCGAGAGAUGUGUUUUCAGAAUCAGGUAAUAAUUUAAUUUGGAUGUUGAAGAGUAGCUUUAGUGCUCAUAAGCUGUUUGAUCUCAAUCUGGUAUAGAGACUACAAAAGUUUGGGUUGAGUUUCAAAGUUAUAUGCUUCUAAUCAAAACAACAUCAGAUAUCUAUAAAAUAACCUUUUAGCUUAUUGAGCAGAAAUCAAGCUAAACUUGAUAAAUAUCCUAUUGCUAAUAUGAUAUCAAAAUUGAACAUUCCUAGAAAAUUAAUCCGAAAAGGUAUACUUAGCAGUUGGGUAGAUGUCUACGGUUUCGUAAACCGACCGAACCAAAACCAAAGCUUUAAUUUGUACCGAAUAUUGAACUGCUAUUAUCCUGUUUGAUAUUCGCUUUCCGUAUUUCACAGUUUUGGUUCGGUACUGAUACUUUUGGUUUAAGUUUACGCAACUGAACUGUGCUUUUAGAAAAUCCUUCUUUGUACAUAUAUGAUUGAAGAAGAGAUUUUUCCAUGUAUACAAUCAUUCCUGGUAUUGUCAUAUGUCUUCUUAUUAGCUAGUUUUUGUUCUUUUCUUCCAUCAUAGAAAAUGCGAGUUAAUAAGUUUAAAAGUUUUUUUUUUUUGUUUAAUUCAUUUGCAAUUUUACAUGUAACCCAGAAUUUAAAUAGAGAAUAAUGGUGUAGGCUGGAAGAGCAAUCAAGACCAAGAUGAAAUUUUGGAAAUUUCCAAAGAGCAAUCAAUACCAAGAAUGGCAGUCGGUUUUCAGUAUUGCCAAAAAAUAUUUGGUAUAGUUUACAUGCUACUCAGUUUGGUUGAUGAAAUAUAAUUAGUUGUCUCAUUUAUCAGAAAAUUCACUUAUCCCGGGAUCUUUACGAAUUUACCGAACCACACCAAAUUGUUUGGUUUUGGGUAUUAAGUGUCGUAAAAUGCAAAAUGAUAUUUCUGUUUUCUAAUUUUCGGUUUGCUGAAUGCACAGGCCUUUUGGCUGUGGAUAUUGGGCUUAGAUACUCUUUCAGAAAUCCAAGAAAUGGAUCGUAGAAGUUCAAAACCGUAGUAAAGGUACUGUCAAGCCCAUCCAAUACAUUUUGUUUCCGUACAUUGCUGCCAGCUAAGAAUUAUUAAUGCUAAUACGUCAAAUGAGUUGGCGAGUUGGUGGAUGGAUAAGUCAGAAUUUAUUGCAAUUGACUGUCGACCGUAUCACGGCAGAUUUUCUCACCAUUAUAUAACACGCAUUCUCCGUGCACCAAUUCAUUCACCAUAUCUCCAUGUCUCUCUGCUUUCAGUUUUCUUCCCAUCAUUUUCUCUGAUUUAAGGCUUUUGCUUUAUUUUUGGUUGAAAAUCGGAUGAGAUUUGUGUUAAUAUUUGUAAGUUUUAGUUUGAUUUAGUUUUAGAAUGAUGCCUAUAUCUUUUUCUUAUUCUUGUUACACCCCCCCCCCCCCCCCCACCAAGCUGCAUUCUACCUUCAUUUUUCCAUCGUGUAAUCAUUUUCUCGGAUUCAAGGAUUUUGAUCUAUUUCUGGUUCAAAAACAAAGGACGUAUCUGAUUUGACAUACAUCAUUUUUUUUUUGAAUUUUGUAAUUUUCGAUUUUUCAUUCCCGGUCGCCUAGUUGUUUCUGUCCAUUUCUUUUUGUCUACUUUUCAUUCAAUUCUACCUUGGAUUAAUGAUAGAUCUCAUCUCGAUUUGAAGAUUAGUUUUCUAGGACAAGUUUUUGUGUCAUAGUUACGUUGCUUCUCUUUCUGAUGAUUUUUUUCCCUUGUAGAGUUAUCCAUGAAGAAAUAUCCUCUGCUGGAAAUAUGCAGAGGAACGAGCUCAAUUUUAAGGUAAAUUUCAUGAAGUCAAUUAUGACAGAUCUCUUAGAAUCAAAGAAUGAUAAACAGAGAACAACAGGGAUCUGUUGUUGUUUUUCAAAAAGAAAAUAUAUAGAAAUGAUUUAGUAAAUAAACUUAUCUUAAUUAACUUAAUCAACAGAUCUUACAUUAGAUACCCAUGUGAAAUGGAAGGAAGCUAUCUAUAUUUCUUUUUGAGAGGGUUAUAUCCGGAACUGUAGAUCUCUUAUAAUUUCACUCUCGUAAAGUAAGAUAUUCAAAAACUGAGGACAAUGAGUUCUUAUGUUAACAUGCUUGUCUUUGGGUAUGACAAAGGAAAAGAAGCGACUCAAACAACUGUCAUCACUGCCACAAUAAGGACAAAGAAAAUUUCCUACAGAUUCGGCGACGCAGUUUUCGUACCUGCUGGCUGCCCUCACCAAGCUAGAAAUCUAAAGGUUUGAAUGUCUGGCUCGUAUACAACUUCGUGAACAACUUCAAUUGUUUUUCAGUCGAAUAUACAUUUUAUUCGCUGCGAAUUUCGUAAUUAAUAUUUGUGUACGAUGUUCCAUCUUGCAGUCGUGCACAAGUAUGUCUAUCGACUUUGUUUCAGCAGAAAGUGUCGGUGAGUGCAUCCGCCUGUCAAUGGAAUAUCGGUCGACUCCCUCACAAUCAUAGUUCUAAGGAAGACAAAUUGCAGGUAUGUAAAAUAAUAUGAUUGUCUUGUCAAUAACUAAAAUCGGAGAUAUAUAUAAUGAAUAAAAAUUUGUCUGCUUGUAAGAAAAAUAAAGAUUGCGGACGACAUCUAACGGCUCGUAAUAAAACAGGUGAAGGGAUUGGUUCUCAGCGCUGUACUUGGACAAGAUUGAUGCGUAAGUCAUAUAUGCUUGUUAAACAUAUGUCUUUGAUACGAUACGAUGUUAAUUCAUUUUAUUUUAUUCUUUACCAGUACUACGUUAAGAAGUCCAUUUGCACCGUACGCCAGAAUCCAGCUCAGCAAGGGGAGAAACCUAGUGUUUCACAAAUGAGGAGGGAGUUGGAGCGGAUGAAAUCGGCUCUCGAAACGAAAGGCCACCUUUUUCAACCCCAUAUGAAAGACUAUCUCUUAAAAGAGAUUCAGCGCCUCAUUGACAAAAUAAGCUUCAGUAUGCUCUUUCAGAUAUGGUACAUUUGCACCCUCUAUACGCAUCGGAAUGUACAUCGGAACCCUGCGCUGACGAAAAGGAAUGUGUUGGCAGGUGAUUAAAUUUACUCUUGAAAGAAAAAACGGAGAAUGUUUUCAACCGCAUAUGAAAGACUAUCUUUUAAAAGAGACUCGCUAACAAAAUAAACUCCAUUUGCAGAGUCGUAUUCGUCUUAGUGACAACAUGAAAGAAGGAAUUUUUGUAUUUAUAUGUUUUUUUUUAUAAUGAAUUAUUUACUGAUGAGUUGAUUUAUUUCAAUUUGAUUAGUUUAAUCUCUCCUCACUAAAUUCCCAUAUGUGGAAGUGCAAUACCCAUGCCAACCGUCGCCGCCGUCACCCGCCAUUAUCCUCCGCCGCCGUGGGAGGAGGAGACUGCGAAGGCGGCGAUGGAGCUGGUGAAGAAAGAAACACACAUGCCAACAACAGAGCUCUGAUUGUUGAUUUGCUGCGGGCCUUUAAAGGAUGGCUAUUUCCAGAUUGUAAGCCAUGAAAUUUUACUGUUUGGGCUAAUUACGGUUAAACCUCUAUAAAUUAAUACAGUCGGGGCUUGCAAAAUACUGCUAAUUUAGCGAACUAUUAAAUUUAUCGAAGUAGUAAUUUUAAUAUGUUUUUACCGGGUCGGACCGUGAGAAAUUAUUAUUUAAGCGAGGUUAUUAAUUUAUCGAGGUUCUACUGUGUGUUGAAAUGUUAUUGCAUUACUGUUUGCCUUUCUUAUGAUACCAAUAUGUUAAUUGCAGCUAGAAACUAUGGACAACCUCAUGUUGCUGCUGUUAUAUUUAUAUAUACUUCAUUACUUUUUAACAUUUGGUCGAAUGUGUUGGUGAGUAUUUGUUGAUUAUUGUUUUUAGUUACUAUAAUUUUUUUUUGGUUAUUGUGAUAAUAAUGCCCUAAAUGUGCCAACAGCUGCAAUUUCUAUUGCCGUAUAUUAAUUUUUAUGUCCACAGAAACUCCAUGGUCGUAGGUUAUAGAAAGGCGUGUUACAUUGUUUGACUUACAAUCUUGCAUGCGUGGCUAUCCUGCUUCUCUCUGUUGUAUUAGCUGCUAUAGGAUUAGCAUCAAUUGUUGUUUCUCCUUUACUAUACGUUGUUUUGUUAAAAAAAAUCAAAUGUUUUUCGACCAAAAAACCGAAAGAAUUCAAUGUGAAUUGAAAGUACGUAUGGGUUAACGUCCUUCUUAUCACUGUUGAUUCUAUACACCUUCUGUGUUAUGCGCAUCUUCCCACGUCUGUAUUUUAUUAUAUUUGUAACCAUGGAAACUCGAGGCUUGAAAUCAUUAUCAAAUUUCUGCUAAUUUUGCAACUGGUGAAGUUAAUCUAUGACACAUAUUCUCUAUAGGAAACUCCUCGUCCAAAAAUUAUGACAUCUUAUUGGUAACUUGAUGGUCCCAACUAAUUUUACUUCUCCUUAUUUGAAGGAAUAUGGGGCAUGAUCGAGAGGUGGCGAGAGAUGUAUUUUCAGAAUCAGGUAAUAAUUUAAUUUGGAUGUUGAAGAGUAGCCUUAGUGCUCUUUUAAGUGUCAAAUAAUCGGAAAGUGCUUCAUCUGAUAACAUUUAUAUGAAAAACCAAAUGUCGCAGAUAUGAAUGCGUGACUUAGUUAUUCAAGACUAAAGUAUAUGUUAAUAAAGCUAUUAGUUACUAUAUGUCUUCAGUUAAUUUGUUCAAGUAUUGAUCAAAUAUAUUAUACACAAUUGCAAGUGAUAUUACUCUUCGAUAUGUUCAAACAUCUCAAAAGAACUUUGGUUUUAGGAAAAGAAAUCCUGCCUGAUAUUUGGAAGGUAAAACAAUCGGGAAUGAGGUUUUUAGCAUCACACCUUGAGUUUUUGCUUUUUUCAUACCUAGGUAAACUAAAUUAAUGGCUCAAGGAAGUUCACAAUAGACUGUGUGGUACAUUUCAUAUCUCGCCAAAUGUCAUUUUGCUGACAGCUAUGGUUGGUGUAACUGCUAAUAUGUAAAGUUAGCUGGCAUCGUCACUGGAUAUGAAGCAAUUUAUUAGGGGUCGAUACAAUCAAUGCUGACCUUAUCGAUUUACUGGCGGAGUUUCCCACAAAUAAAUUUUACCCUCCCCUCCCUCCCUACUCCCAUUCUUCUAUCUCGCCCAUUCUCUCCACCUCUGUAUCCCUUGUUCAAUUUUCCAUCUUCGUCUCCUCAUUUUCUCAAAUUAAAAGCUUCUGUUUUGUUUGUGGUUCAGAAUCAGAAGAGUUUGUUAUCUGAUUUAGGUGAUUUUAUAUUACCUUUUCUUGUUUUUCCCUUUUUUUUUUUCUUAAACUAGAUGAACUGAGUUUGCUAUCUAAUUUCCACCACUUUCAUGUUACAUUUCAUGACACGAUAUGUUCUAUUUUAGAUUAAAAAAGAACAUGUGUUUGUCAUAUUGAUUUUGAAGAUUAUAUUGUAUGAUUAGUUUUCUUACUCCUCCUUGGUGAUUAUUUUAUCGUUUAUGUUGUAGAAACUAACAAUUUUGAAAAAAACAUUCUUCUAUAAAUAAGGUUGGUUUAAUCACUGCAUGUAUUCUUACUUAUAAUUAAAACUUAAAAUAAUAGAUGUAUAAUUAGAGUGGUGCAAUCCUUAUGAAGAAACCAAUAACCACUAUUAUAUAAUUUAUAUUUUUUUUCCUUACAUGAUUAUGAGCCAUUUGAUGAAGUUAUUAAACUUGUACUCAUAUGUUCUUGAAUAUAAUCCUUUAUGCUCUAUUGUAAUCAUGUAUUCAAAUCAAAGUAUAUCAUUAAUGGUUUAAAAUUGUUGUUAUUCUCUGUUAGUCUUUAGGUUACAACAUUUUCAUGCCUUGAAAUAGGUUUCAUAACCUGUAUCUCCCACUUUUUUUUUGUUGGUAGAAUUUAGAGGACAAAAAUACAUUAGUCGGCAUAGGUUAUGUGAACAUAUUAAAAAUUUAAUUAUAAUGGUUGAAAUAUUUAUUAAUAGAUUCUGGUGCACCAAUUUUAUUGUCAGUGUGCAUAAGUAGUAAGUAGCAAUAAUUUAAAACAAAUAUUUUUCUUAAAAUGUCCUUAAGGAAUCCUAAUUUGAGAUUUUUUUUUCUGGGGCCCUCCUUUUUACAGGCAUGGUAAGUAAAAACGUUUUUGGUUAGUGAGAAGGAAAAUGAUUUAUAUAUUUAUAUGAAUCAGCAUAAGAUUGCAAUAGUCAGUAUUAUAUUGCAGUAAUAUGUAUAAGUUUGCAAUAGUCAACAUUAUAUUGCAGUGAGCAGUAUCGGAUUACAGUAAUCAACACAAUUUUCCUUUUUUGCUGGUAAGACCUCCUUAUUUCAUUUUCCCUGGAACAAUUAUGCAUACAUUUUGCCAUUGCAGUUAAGAGAACAAUUGAAAACCAAGAUUUAUCAAGGCAAUUAAUUUUCGGGGAGUUAAAAUGAUGCCGUCGAGAAGUACAAAUGGAGAAACAUCUUCUGCUGGAAAUAUGCAAAUGAACAGACACAACUUAAAGGUAAAUUAAUAAUGUUAAUUGUAGAAUUAAAUUGCUAUAAGAUUUGAUAUAAGCAUAUAGGUUGCAGAAUUCGGUUAUCCGUGCAAUUGUCUUGUAUCAAAUACUUUUUAGAAGUAAAAAAAUCAAAUUCCAUUUUGUGUUUGUCUUUUCAAUGAGACCCCAUGUGUAAAUACCAAAUUAGAAAAACCUUUCUUUCAGACUAUUUAUAGUGAAAUUACUUUGACUAAAUACAUUUAUAUAUACAGCAGGGGGACCGGUAAGUGUGGAUUCUUCGAUUUUGUGAUGUUGGUCUUGAAUUAUUUAGUAUUCAAUCAUGAAGUGUUUAAUUUAAAAAAUGUAUCUUUGUAAUUUUAAUCGAUAGAUCUAACAUUAGAUAUGUGUGUGUGUGUGUGUGUGCGCGCGCGCUCAUGUGUGUGUGUAUACGCAAUUUUAGAGUAAAUGCAUACAAAUUUUGGAUGAUCUGUCAUAAUUUCAUAAUAUUCGAAGGCGUUUAAAUGUUGUUCUGAAAUAACUUGAUUACGGCAGAAAACGAUGACAUGUCACAACAAUUAAAGUUAAGACCCUAAAGAAGAUUAAAUCCAAAACUGCGGAUCUCAUCUAAUUCAUUCCAUUGCCAACUUUUCAUAAAGUACUAUAUAAAAAAUCGAGGAUAUACUCUAUGUUAAUAUGUUUUUCUUUGGAUGUGGCAGAGGAAAAGCAUCGACUCGACCAAUUGCCAUCAAUGUCAUAGAAAUGACAAAGAAAAAGUUGUACGAUGCACCAAGUGCAAGCAUAGGGGUUAUUGUAUUCUCUGUAUCAAUAAAUGGUGAGAAAUUUUGUUGCUUGAUAUAUUUUUUGUUGCUCUUAUGUUGGUACUUGGUAUAUCUUACAUGGUGGCUUAUAUUUUGUAAUAUGGAUAAAUGUCAUUUAAGUCAUACUGAUUAAUUUUGAGUUUUACCGCCACAAAGCAGGAUGGUAUAUUUAUUAUCUUCUCUUUGGAAUAUACCUACUACCCAUUUAGUCAUUUAUGAAUGAAUUUUUGCUUAAACAUGUUUCAAAGUAAGGGCUUCCCUUGGUUCUACACUUACAUUAUUCCUGCAUUUUCUUCAAUAUAUAUAUAUAUAUAUAUAUAUAUAUAUAUAUAUAUAUAUAUAUAUAUAUAUAUAUAUAUAUAUAUAUAUAUUUUAUCGUCGAUAUACUAUAUCUCUGUGGUACACACAGAUACAGAGGCUGCAAGAGGCAGACUUUGCUGAAGCAUGCGCAGGCUGUCGCAAAUUGGCAACUGUACAGCUGGCAUACAUUCUGAUCUGGAGAAUAAAGUUAGUAUUAAGGUUCUUCUCUUGAUUUUAUAUUAAUAUAGGAUUAUAUGUUUUCUAAUUAAGUCUCUUGUUCUUGCAUGUUAGGAUUUGUUCAAACCAGACUUGCAGCUCGACAUCAACAAAAAGGUCCAGUACUCAAAGUAUAUUAUUAGAGUACUUCUUCCUUCGUUUAGGAAGUUUGUUGUUGAGCAGAACAUAGAAAGAGAAGAAGAGGCAAGAAUUCAAGGUAACUUUAACUUUUGUUAGGAGGUUUUGCUUAGAAAAUUAUUUUGAUAUCUCUUAUCUUCUUGUUACUGAUAUGGAUUUUGAUGCCUCCAAACGAAACCGAAGUGUCUUAAAAUGGUAUUUAAUGGCACUAUGCAUCAUUGAAGUUUCAGGAUGAUUUUUUCUAAUAAUAUUAAUUUAUGCCGUGUAGAAGUGUUGAACAUAUUUAAUGUUUAUCGUACACUACUUGUUUCCUGAAGAUCUAUGAGUUUAAAAGUGAGAUUCUUAUUUUAGGCGUGCCUUUGUUUGUGUUACUAAACACCCUGGAAAACAGCACAAAAAUCUAAAUCUAAUUUUCUUGUCUGUAUCAAUUCUACUACGACGAUCCAUCACCACUGCCUCGACCAUUAUCCCGCCAAAAAUGUAUAUUCACUGUUUAUUCGAAAGAUAGAAUAAAUAUGAAAAAUAUUUUAUAUGUUAAUAGUUUCCGUUAAUUGUAUGUGCUACUCCAUUUCAGUGAUUUAUGAUUUUGAGGUAUUAGUGAGACGUACCUGGAGAUAAACACUAUUGAUAGAACUCUUAAUUUUCCCUAGCAGAUGUAGUUUCGUUGUUUGAUUAAUUAUAAUAUAUAUAUUUUGGUUGGGCAGGUGUUUCAGUUGCGGGACUACAGCUUCCGAAAGCCAACUUUAUCCACGACGAUAAAGUCAAAUGGUGGAUACUUUUAACCUAUGCCCUUUUCCUGAUAAAUGUUUGCUCCAGUAUGGAAAAUGUUGAUAAUUAUAACUUGUGCUGUGCAGUGACAACUGUAAGACUGCAAUAUUCGAUAUCCACAGAAGUUGUCUAAACUGCAUGUACAAGCUCUGCGUAACUUGUUGCCGAGAGAUAAGGAAUGGCUUCCAAUGGGGAAAUGAUAAAUAUCACGUUCAUCAUGGGGGUCGUACUUUUACAAGCAAUGAUAGAUUUUCUGCAGCAGCCUGUUGCUCUAUGGACCACACGAGUUUUACUUCUGAAUGGAAGCUGAUAGACAGAAGUACCAUAGUUUGUCCACCUGAAAUUAUGGGGGGAUGUGCUCAUGGGAAUCUGGUGUUAAAGUCCACAUAUCCAGAUAACUGGGUAUCGGAACUGCUAAUUAAAGCAGAGUCCAUAGAUCUCGAGGUGGGUGAAGUUUCCGAAGAAGCAUGCUCAUGUUCAGGGACUGCAGUCCGUAAUAUCCGCUGUCCCAAAGUUGUGGGCGUUGACCAAAAGCACUUCCAACGGCACCUAUAUAAAGGUGAGCCUGUGAUAGUUCCUGACGUGCUCAGCAGAACGACUGGGUUGAGUUGGGAGCCAUUAGUCAUGUGGCGUGGUUGCCGCAAAUCCAGAAGGACUAAUGACGCUCGCAUUCUGGAAUUCAGCGUAACAAAUUGUGUAAAUUGGUGCAAGGUAUGCCGACUUCUCUAUUAUGUUUUACUCUAUCAAUCAAAAAGUUUUAAUUUGUAAUUUGUGAUUGGACUUCGCUUAUUUUACAUCCUUUUAAUCGUAUACCUCUUUUUUUUUUUUUUUGUUUUUCACAGUCAUGGUCUUAUUUCUUGUAACUGUUUCUAGGUUGUAUUCUUUAUGUUCUUGAGCAUUCACUUGCUGCAUAUGUAAUCUUUCAAAAGAAGGACUAAGUAACAAAAAUACUAAUCUCUUAUCGUCCUUAGUUUCGGUGCAAAUUUCUCUUCAUAUUGUAUCAACCUUCAAAAUGUCAAAACUUUGGUUGGGUUAAUAAGUGUCUAACACGAAUUUGGAUAGGAUAAAGCAAAGAUCUGACAAUUCGUCGUACUCGACAUGUUUCUUAAAAUAGAGAUGUUUUGAUAGAUUUGUUCUUGAUGUUUGUUUUCCUAUUUAAUUGAAAUGAGACCGAUAUAUACGUCGCCUUUACCCUUUUUAUUCGCUAUGUUAAGUGUCACUUCUUAUGUAGGUUUUAGUCUGUCAGUUCCUAUGCAUUAUGCACGUGUACUUUUGUUUUCAUUAGCUUAAAGAUGUGGUGUUGUAAUGAUUUGAUUUUCGGGCUAUGACACGCAGGAAACUAUAAACAUGCACCAAUUUUUCAAUGGGUAUUCUGAAGGCCUCUUGGACAGUGAAGGCCGGCCCAAAAUUUUGAAGUUGGAGGAUUGGCCUCCAACUGAAUCCUUUCAAGAACGGCUGCCUCGGCAUUUUGUAGAGUUCAUUAGAUGCUUGCCGUUCAAGCUAUACACACAUGAAGCUGGCUACCUCAACAUGCCAGCGAAAACGCCGAAGAAGUCGUUGAAGCCGGAUUUGGGUCAAAAAAUAUGCUUUGCUUAUGGAGUCAAUGAGGACCUUGGCUUCUGUUCUGCAACCAAGCUUCAGUAUGCUGUUUCAGAUAUGGUACAUUUUUUUCUGUUAUUAUCUUUCUUUAUUAACUUGAAUAUUUAUGAGAAUAUAUGAACUGCUUUAAAUCAUUUCCAAUUAGUCUGCCUAUUGCAUCGAUAGAAGCAGUACAUCUCCGAAAGAUUAUUCUUAUGAAGUCGUGGGUAUUUCUAUCUAUUCAACGCAGUCCUAGUUCUUCUUUCUUGCAUGUAAUAUGUUAAUCUUAAUUGUUGACUCAUUAUACGCAAGAUAGAAUGAUGUUGAAUAUGCUUUAAACUUGAGUUUCAAUUAGGAAUAAUAGUCAUGAAAAAAUUUGGAAUAAUGUAGAGGCAUAAAAGUUCGAUCACAAACUAUUUCUUGAAGAAGAGAAAUGGAUUUGCUGUGAGCCUCCAUGGUUCUUGAAAUAUGACAUAGUCAUAUAAUUGAGCAAUAUGGUUAGCCUCUUCAUGAUGGAGUUAACUUUUGAUUCCAAUUUACUAUGAAACUUUCAAUAGGAUAAAAUAUAUUAAUUAUGUAGAUUUACUUCUCUUUUUGCCUUACUUUAUUUUUGCCUUAUUUUAUUGGGAAAAUUUUGGGCUAUAAUAAGAUUAUGUAACUUCAAAUCUUUUGUGGAUUGAGACACAAGGGUUGCCCAUUGUGUCAACAUCACUAGCGACUAGUGAUGUACCUAGUCUAUCGAUUAUCGUUAAUGCACGACUUGUUUCGAUACCGAUGGGGACCUAUAGAUACAAUAUUAGGCUCGGAACACAUUUAGAUUGUCAUACAAUUUGUGUGAUCUACGGGUUGAGGAAAAGAAUCGGGAAUGGUCAAAGUGGUUGCAAAGUAGGUGAUACGAGCCUCGUAAGAGUUGCUAGAGACCCUGUAGCAAGAACGAAACAUCCAAAAGGAAGGAUUCAAGUUGGAUUAACAUGGAAUAUGGACCCUAUGAAGAACUAGAAAUCAAUAUUCUUAGGAUGGAAUAUUGACCCAUGGUUAUAUCAAACCAAAAACAAUUAUUAUACGGCAAAGAAAAUUACAAGAAACAACUUGUAAAUUCCUGAAGGUUGUUGUAGAACAUCGAUGGAUAAUUGAUCUUGAAGAACUCAAAAUAAUUCAUUAAACUUUGUGUACGAAAGUUGUGUAUACAACCUAUUUAUAAGUGCUUCAAAGACUCAUUUCUCACAAAAAAAUAGAGUUCCUACCUUUACUAUAAUAAGAAAACUAACAAUUAAGCUAAUUCUAACCAUAAACGAAUUCUACAUGUCACUUUUCUUGAAACUUAUCGACUAUACGCCAUUUUUCUUAAUUGGUGGAGAUUUGGGUAUGCACGUGCAACAACUUUGAGCCCAAUUUUGUCCAUCUUGCAUUCCGUCUUACUAAAGCAUGAAACUUCAAGAUCUUUUGUUGGCUUUUCGUAACAUUUUGAAUUAUGGCAAUCCAAUAUCGGACGUGAGAGUUAUGAUCCGAAUUGAAAAUUUGCGAGAGACAUCUGAGAUUUUGGACGCAUGACAAUUGGUUGGUACGACGAAUUCCUUUCUUUAUUGCCUUCGAAUUCCUCAUCAUGGGGACCUCGGAGUAUUGAUUCAAGUUUAUAUUCUUCACCGCCAACUCCCACAAGAUCACGCAUUCUCUCUUCUUCCAAUUCUUCCAAAUCUUCAUCUUCAAGCUAUCAGGAUCGUAUCAAAAGGAGAAUCUUCAGAAGGAGAAGGAGAAGGAAAAGCUUUAGAGAGAGAAGAAUUGUUGGCGUCUUAUAUACCUAGAACUCAUAAGUAUUAAAUGAGGAUGUGGAAUCACCUCAUGUAAUCCCAAGGAAGGUCAAAGCUCUUUAAAUGUGAAAAAUUGUUUCCAUAUUAAUAAUGCAUAACGAUGAAAUUCUUCUCCCCGAGUUGAUAUUACGAUGAUUGAACUUAUUAACUUCUAAUACUAUUCUAAUACAUAAAAAUUAACUUCUUAAGAAAGUGAUCUUAAAUUAUAGGAAUUUUGAGUUUCUAAAAUACCGUUAAGACCGUACUAAAUAGAAAAUACGGAUUAAGACUAUAAAGUAUAAAUCACCUAUUAUUAUCUUCAAUUAAGAAUUAUGUUGAAAGUGGUUUGUUAGUGAACCUUCUUAUUGGGAGUAGAAAGAGUAAUCUCUCAAUACUUCAAGUUUCAUAUUUGAAGCGAGUCAAAAUGGGUGAGGGUAUUUUCUAUAAAUAGUAAAUAGUAUAUACAUGUGGUAAAUAAGAGGAUAUUAUAGAUCCGAGUCAUAGAAUAUAUUAAAUUCUCAUACAAGUUAUUCAAUCUAAUACAAUGAUUUUGUUGUAUCUAGGUAUCGAGUAGGAACAACUUGUUCAUAACGUAGUUGUUUUUAACUUUAGGCAAGGAUCUUGCUUCUAGAUUGCAUUUGGUCGACGUCGUGCAAAAAUAGUACAUGUAGAGUUAAAAUGAGAUAUAUUAAAUAGUUUAUUAGAUAUACUUACUCUAGUAUGAGAUGUUACAAGUGUAAUUUUUUGCUAUUACUCGAUCACCCCACAUUUGAGCUAUAUAUCAUAUUAUCAUUCAAGCAAGAUAAACAUAGAAACUUUCUGAUAGUCGUCAAAGGAAUGUUUGCGUCCUUUUUUAUGUUUGAUAUUAUUCCUACCUACGUAAAGACUUUAACUUCAACUACUAAAUAGUUUAAUAGGUAAAGAUAUUUAUUUUUGUGUUAUAUGUUACACAUGUAAGCUUUGUGCUUUAUUCUGGUGCUUGUCCAUAGAAAGUUUAUGCUAGUUGUCGAAGGAAUCUAGGAGUCUUUCUUGAUGUUUAAUAUUUUUGUUACCUAAAUCAUUCAACUUAACCUUGUUGAUCGCACUCAAGAUCUCUUUCUACCAUUGCCUAAGUUGUUCUUAUGGAACAUACGAACAAGUGACUACAACAAGUCUUAAUUUGUAUUAUAUUUGUUGUCAGGAUCGUCCUUUUGUUGAUGUCUAACUUUCCCUUCUUUUUUAAUUUUGUAUUAGGUCAAUGUCUUGAUGCAUACAGCUGAAACGUCUCUUAAUCCGGAAGAGCUUUCAACAGUAGUGGAGUUGGGAAGGAAGCACAUUGCCCAAGAUCCACUGGUAUUUCGUGUAAGCAAUGGGAAAGCAAAUCAAGAUGCCCCAAGAAAUCAACAAUUUGAAAGAGAAAAUAAAAAUAAAGGAAAGGAAAAAGUUGAUCCUUCAACCUCAGAAAACAACGAUCCAAGCUUCGAUGAACAAAAAUGUGGUGCUAUCUGGGACAUUUUUCGGAGGCAAGAUGUUCCUAAGCUGGAAGACUAUCUCCGAAGGCAUUACGGAGAGUUCAGGCGUGUCGUCCCUUUGCAGCAAGUAAUUAAAUCUUGAAUUUGAAAACAAUGUUCUACUCAACUUAUUCUGUUAUGGGGUUUAUCUCUCAUAUGGUAGUUACUAUUAUUUUUCUAACAGAAUUCUAAAAAUCAAGAUUUUGUUAAGCUUUUGGUAUGAUCUUUUAUUGUCGUAGCAUAAGUAGAUAGAUGUCUUUUAUUUUUCCAAAGUAUCGAUAUGUUUUGGAAUAUUUAUCAUUUAUUUUUUCCUCUAUUCGUGCACAGCUGGUUCAUCCUAUUCAUGAGAAAGCAUUUUACUUAACGAUGGAGCAUAAAAGGAAGCUGAAAGAUGAAUAUGGUAUGUUUUUAUUGUGUUGUAAAGUGGAAUAUGUGUGAAUUGCUAUGUAUAUUGAUUAUCUAUUUUUAUAUAUAUUUUUUUUUGUAGGAAUUGAACCAUGGACCUUUGUCCAGAGAUUAGGCGAUGCAGUUUUGGUACCAGCUGGCUGCCCUUACCAAGCAAGAAACUUAAAGGUUUGAGUGUUUGACUCGUAUACAACUUCGUGAACGACGACUUCAAUUAUUUUCAGUCGAAUGUAAAUUUUUCGCUGUGAAUUUUGCAAUUAAUUUUUGUGUGCGUGUUCCAUCUUGCAGUCGUGUACGAGUAUGUCCAUCGACUUUGUUUCAGCUGAAAGCGUCGGUCAGUGCAUCCGCCUAUCAACGGAGUAUCGGCGUCUCCCAAAGAAUCAUAGUUGUAAGGAAGACAUGCUGCAGGUAUGUCAAAAAUACGAUUGUCUUGUCAAUAAACAAAAUCAAAGAUAUAUAAUGAAUAAAAUUUGUCUGCUUGUAAGAAAAAUAAAGAUUGUGGAUGACAGCUAACGGCUCGUAAUGAAACAGGUGAAGAGAUUGGUUCUUAGUGCUGUCUGCCAAGCUGUGCAGUACUUGGACAAGAUUGAUGCGUAAGUCAUAUAUACAUAGGCUUGUUAAACAUAUGUCUUUGAUACGAUGUUAAUUCAUUUUAUUUUGUUCUUUCCCAGUAUGACGUUAAGAAGUCCAUUUGCACCCCCCUUUGAGCAUGGGAAUGUACGCCAUAAUCCAGCUCAGCAAGGGGAGAGACCUAGUAUUUUACAAAUGAGGAGGGAGUUGGAGAGGAUGAAAUUGGCUCUCGUAACGAAAGGCCACCUUUUUCAACCUCAUAUGAAAGACUAUCUCUUAAAAGAGAUUACGCUCCUCACUAAUAAAAUAAACUCCAGUGCUGGCUCUUCUUCAUCUUAGUUACACCAUUUUCAAUGGUUAGCCUACUUGUUGAGUUAACACAAUAUUUUGACAUUUUCAUCUGUGGAACUAUACUUUAUUUAUUUAGUUUUGUGCCAUACUUUUGUCCGAUUUCAUGAAUUUCAAAGGCCCUGAGAAUUUUCGAGUUGGUUUUGGCUAAUGUUUCUGUUUUUUGGUUUUAGUAUUAAGUUUGGGAAAAUGCAAAUUGAUAUUCCUGGUUGCUAAUGUUGUGUUUGCUGAAUGCGCAGGCCUGUUAGCAGUGGGUAUUGGGCUUGGGUGCUCAUGAGAAAUUCACAAAACGUAGUAAGGUCCUCUCAAACCCGUCCCGUAUAUUUUAAAUCUUUCCAAUAUGUAUAUUGUUGCCAGCUAAGAUUGGUCAAUGCUGAUACGUUAGAUAAGCUGGCGUGGCGCUGACGUGGCGUGGCUGGAUAAGGCACAAUUUAUUGCGAAUCGCUGCAUUGACUGCCGGCCUUAUCACGGUAGAUUUUCUCACCAUUAUAUAACACUCGUUUUCCCUUCCCCCAUUCAUUCCCAUAUCUCCCAUCUCUCGAUUCCUCUCUCAGUUUUCUUCUCGUCGUUUUCUCAGAUAUUUGUAAGUUUUUUAUUUAGUUUUCGAAUGAUGACUACCCGCCUGGCCCUAGUUGUAUUCAACAUUUAAUUUUCCAUCUUCUAACUAUUUUAUCGGAUUGAUGAUUUUUGAUUUAUUCUGGUUCAAAAUCAGAUGACAUGUCGUUUAACGAGAUACGCAAUUUAUUUUUGUUUUUGAAUUUUGUACUUUCCGAUCUUUCAUGCCCCUCCCGAGUUGAUUAACUUAUUUAUUUCUUUCUGGCAAUAUUCAUUUCUCUGGAUAUUCUUGAAAACACGACAGCUUUUACUUUGGAUUAGAAAGAGUACUCAAAGAGAUCAUAUAUUUUUGUCAUUUCGAUUUGCAGAUUAGUUUUCUACGACUAACUUUUGACUUUUGUGUCCUAGCUAUCUUGUUCCUCAAUGAAGGAAAAUUCAGAUGAAGCGGCCCAAUCUGAAGGUAAAUUUCGUAAUUACAAUCGUGGCACUUCUCUACUAUGAGUUAUCCCGUCAAUCGAAAAAAAUUGAAAUGUGAAAUAUGUGAUUGGAUAUGUCACCUUUGCUCGUUUUACGCUCUAUUGUUUGUUGGAUUAUUUACAAAUUAACUUUCUAAAAAUAACGAUGUUCUUCGUAUAGCUUUAAUCAUCAAUUAAGGUCUUAUUUUUUGUAAUCGUUUCUUGACGUGAAGAUCUUUAUGUGCACUCUUAAUGUUUUAUUGCAAUUAUACUUCAUGAAUAUAUAUGUCGUUUCUACCCUUUUUAUCGGCUACGUAUAAUUUCUUAUUCCAGGGGAGAUACGUAUACCUAGUCUUGCAUAAGUGAAGAGGGAGUUGGAGAGGAUGAAUUUGAUUCUCGAAACAAAAGGCCACCUUAUUGACCCUCAUAUAAAAGUCUAUCUUUUACAAGAGAUUUUGCUCCUCCUUAACAAAGUAAACACCGACGCCGAGUCUUCUACGUCUCAGUGACAGCGUAUCUACCGAUGCGUUAACGUUUUUCAUUAUGUAAUUUUGAGCAAUACCUUUUCUUUUUUUUCCGGUUUUGUGAGUUGUAGUGAGUUUGGUGAAUCAGCUUGACAUGAAUGAACUGUUUGUUUUUUAUUAUAAAAUAUAUCUUUAAUUCCGUAGCAAUAUUUUGUGUUAUUUGUAGCAGUUUCAUUUUCUCCUACAUUGUAUUUCGUACCGUAAUUCAAUUUUCUAAAUAAUAUAAAACGGAUGAGUAUCAAUGUUUUAAAAAUCGGAUCGAACAUUGACCGGAACAAGCUACUGGAUCAUGGUUGGAUCAGUUUAACCGGUUUUUUCAUUUUUUAUACAUAUCUUUUAGUAAAUAAAACAUAUUUUUUUCACACAUUAACUCAAUGCUCAUUUCCAAUUAAAAUUUAGAUCCGACUUAUUUUUCUUUUACACACAACACAUCACGCCGAAUCAUAGUAAAAAGACAUCGUUUUGGCCAUUUUAUUUGUUUAUUUUUUUAAUAAAACACAAUUUUAGAAAGAAAAAAAACCCGAUUUUCACUCAGGUUUUGAUAUUACAUUUCAACCGGUCAAACGGGACCGGACAAGACAAUGAUUCGCGAUUUAAUCGAUUGAACCAGCCAGUCCAGUCUAGUUCAAAACACUGAGUAUAAUACAAUUUUCUUAUGCAGUGCCAUUUUAUUUUAUCUUUUCUAGUACAUAGUUUCUGUAACAAUAAAAUAAAAAAUAAUGUAGCUUAUUUUCAUUAUUUUGAUAUUUUCUUAUAUUAGGUUUGGAGCAUUUUUUUUAAAGAAAAUUAAAUCACGCCCCGAAUUAGAAAGUAGGUGAGUGAUAUGAUUUAUUACGUACUUUCAACUUAACGAUGAGCUAGUAGCAAAUCUCAUUAUAAUAUUAGUCUAAAAUUUAUAUAUCGAACAAUGGUAGUAGUUGUGCUAAAAUUCAAAAUAAUGAUAAAUAUUGGAAUAAAUUGGGUUUCAAGAGUGAUUCAAAUAACAAUCGAAGUCUCUUCCAUGAUGUGAUUUGAUGAUUUUUUUUUAGGUUUUUCAACUUGAAAAAAGUAAUAAUAGGGUUUAACUGAAAUAAUUCUUAGUUAGAGGGGUUAAAGUCAUAUAUUAACACUAAGUUAGAAGGGUUGAAAUUAUAUUUAUGCUUAAUUUGAGGGGUUGAAGUGAUAUAUAAUGUUUACUUUAAAGGGGUUUGAACUUUAAUUUAUUUAGCAAAUGAUAUCAUCAAAUAGAAAAGCCUUUUCCGACGAUCAGUUGUCAAUUGUAAUCUCUCCACUCCCAGAUUAAACCCCACAGGUGGCAGUUGCAAUGUCCAUGCCCACCGUCGCCGCCGCCGUCACCGCCGCCGUCACCGUCACGUCACCGGCCGUAUUCUUUCUCGGCGCACGGUAAUUCGAGGAUGACUACUGUAUUGGUUAAUGUGCUCCGGCUAUGGUGGUGGGAGUUAUAUGAAGUUAAUUGGAUGUGGAAAUUCUUCAUCGGAUGGCUAUUUCCAGAUUGUAAGCCAUUAAAUUUACUGUUUUGGUGAAUUAUUUGAAAAUGCAAUUGCCUUUAAUUUCUCUAUGCCUUUUUUUGAUAGCAAAAUUUCGAGUACUUUGGUCGAAUUAAUUGGGCAACCUCAUACAUACCUAAUUGAACUCUUGGGAGAUUCAUAUUUGCCUGUGAAUAAUUUUAUCAAUGUAUAAGUAUAAGUGAUUAUAUGAUAAUACCGUAAAUUUUUCAAAUGUUGCAAUUUCUAUUGUCAUAUAUUAAUUUUUACGUUUAUAGAACAAUGUCUUAGGUUGUAUGCCUUACAAUCCUGUCUGCGUGGCUAUCCUGCUUGUCAUACUGGUUACGUUUAUAGAACAAUUGCUGCUCCUUAUUUAGAACUCAUAUUGUCUAUAGGAAAUGGUUCCUGCUAAUUUUACUUCUCAUUGUUUGAAGGAAUAUGGGGCAUGAUCGAGACCUGGCGAGAGAUGUAUUUUCAGUAUCAGGUAAUAUUUUAAUCUGGAUAUUGAAGCCUAGUCUUGGUGCUUAUUGAGUUUAUAUUUUUGGAAUAUGGGGCAUGAUCGAAAAGUGCUUUAUCUGAUAAUAUUUAUAUGAAAGAGCAUAUAUCGCAUAAAUGACUGCGUGGGUAAAUGCUUUUAUUGGCGGGGUUUCCCGCAAAUAAAUUUUACCCUACCCUCCCUACUCCCUAUUCCCAUUCUACUUUCUCACACAUUCUCUGCAUCUCUAAAUCCAUUCUACUUUCUCACACAUUCUCUGCAUCUCUAAAUCCCUGUUCAAUUUUCGAUCUCCAUCUCCUCAUUUUCUCUUAUCAAAGGUUCAAACUCAGAGGAAAAGUUGUUGAAACUCCAAUAAUUGAAAUGGUCAGGAUAUGCAUUUUAUAGAAGGAGAUAUUCGUAAAAUGUUAGUUGUACUGUUGGCUUGAAAUGAGAAGAAAUGCUUUAUAUUCUUCUACGUAUUUUAUUGAAAUAGAGAUCCUUUCCAUGUAUCAUAUAUAAUACAUUCAUUUUAUUGUCACGCCUCUUAUUAUUGGCUAGUUUUCGUUCUCUUAAGUUCGUUUUUUUAAUUCAUUACAAUUUUAUUUGCUAUGCAGAAUCUAAAUAGAGAAUAAUGAUGUUGGCUAAGAGCGAUCAAGACUGAGAUGAAAUGCCAAAAAUACCAAAGAGCAAUCAGUUUUCAGCAUUACCAAAGUAAGUUUGGUACAAUUUACUAGUGGUUCGGGUUUUGUUAAUGAAAUGCCAAAGAAAAAUCUCUAUAUUUUUUUACAGAAUAUUCAAUUCUACCUAAUCUAGAGGAAUUUAUGAACCAAACCUAGUUGUUUGGUUUUAGUAUUAAGUUUAGCAAAAUGCAAACUGAUAUUUCUGUUUGCUAAUGUUGGGUUUUAUGAAUGGACAGGCCUAUUAGCAGUGGAUAUUGGGCUUAGAUACUCUCUCAGAUCUCCAAGAAAUGGCUAAUGAAGAGUCCACAAAACAUAGUAAGGUACUGUCAAACCCUUCCAAUAUAUUUUGCAAAAUCGUAUACUCGCUAAAUUUGGUUAAUGCUAAUACGUUAAAUGAGCUGGCAUGUUGGUGGAUGGAUAAGGCACAAUUUAUUGCAUAUCGCUGCAUUGACUGUCGGUCUUAUCACGGCAGAUUUUCUCACCACUAUAUAACACUCGUUUUCCCUGCCCCCAUUCAUUCGCAUAUUGCCAUCUCUCUAUUUUCCUUUCAUUUUUUUACUUUUCUUGUCACCAUUUUCUCAGAUUUAAGGAUUUUUCUUUAUCUUUGGUUGAAAAUGAUGAGAUUUGUGUUCGAUAUUUUUUAAUUUUUAAUUUUUAAUUUAGUUUUCGAUUGCGCAUUUUUUUUUUUUUUUUUUUUUUUUUUUUUUUUUUUUUUCUCUUUCUUAUUCUUUGUUGGUCUCCACCUUAUCUCCUUAACUGUAUUAGACAUUCAGUUUUCUAUCUUCAAACUAUUUUCUGGAUUGAAGGCUUUUGAUUUAUUUCUGGAUGAAAAUCAGAUGACACAUCUGAUUGGACAUAAUUAAUUUUAUUUUAUUUUUGUUUUUGACUUUUAUAUUUUCAUUAUGCUUGGUUUACUCAUCCAUUUCUUUCUGUUCAAUUUUCAUUAUUUCUCUGGAAGUUCUUGAAAAUAUGGCAGCUCUUACUAUGGAUUUGGGUGAAAUCAUCUAUAUACCAGUUUGAUUGGAAAACUAGUUUUUUCGAAUUCAAACUGCCUAAAGAGUCCUAUGCCUCAGUAGUGAAUCUCAAUUUUUUUUUGCGAAAUUAGAUAUACAAAAGUGAGAAUCAAGGGUUCCUAUGUUAUAUGUUAAUAUCUUCGUCUUUCGGUGUGACAAACGCAAAUGAACUCAAACAAUUGUCCUCAGCGUCACAUGUGUGGUAAAGAUAUAGUUGUUGGAUACAUCAAAUGCAGUUUGAAGGAUUAUUGCGUUCUCAGCAUCACUAAGUUGUGCAAAAGUUUGUUGUUGAAGAUACUUUUUCAUUUCAGUGUUUCAGUUUUAUGUUAAGCUACUAAAAUUAUAUCUUUUGCAUCUGGAAAUUCGUUGACUGGAAUUAAUCUUGUGACGUAGGCUUCCAAAUUGUCACAGCCGAAGAAUUUCCACGACACAAAAGAUUUUAGUAGUGUCUAACAAUUGAGCAUUGAAGUAUAAAAUGUCUCCAACAACAAAAGUUCUCGACAUUUAAUAAUGCAUGAAACGGGAUAGUUAUUUUUUUUGCAUUUGGUGCAUCAUAAAACUAUUUCUUCAUCAUUCUUGUGGCAUUGAUGACAAUUGUUUGAGUCACUCUAUCAUACUCGAAGACAAAAAUGUUAACAUAAAAAUCUGUAGUUCUCACCUUUGAAUAUCUUGUUUUGUGAAGAAGUUGGAGAGAGAAUAUCUUGUUUUUAUGAGACGUGUUAUUGCACUUUCAGUUCUCAUUAGUACCCUAAUCGAUGUUGUUAUUAGAGACUUUUUGAUUUUAGUAAAUUCUUUGGUUGAAAUUCUGAUUUUAGGAUGCUAUCGUUACUUUCUAACUUGUUGCCAUCUAGGCUUCCAUCUUGUUUAGAACGUAAAAACUUCUGUUAAAAUUUUAGUUAGAAGCUUCUUUCAUUAUACUGACAACGCACUUGGAUAGAUGCACGCAUAAAGCAUAUACAAUCACAUUCUUCUGUUGGUCUCUAGUUAUUGCAUCGAGAAGAAUUGAACUACAUAUAUCUGACUUUCAAAGUUAUUAGUGUUAGAAAAGUGUUUUUCAUAUUUCAAAUAUGACUGAGAAAUGAGUUACUUACUGAGUUACUUUGUGUUUUCUGUUCUGACAAAAUAAUAUUUUCUCCUGCACUAUAACAUUAAUCUGUUUCACUUCGAAGCAACACUAAAUUUAGAGCACCUCACACGCGGUAUCACAUAAAUAUUUCUGCACCAUUAAACAGUGAUACAUCUAAAAAUCUUCACGAUUUGCUUAAUAUUGUAAAAAGAUCUUCCUGAUUGAGUAUUUAAGGAUGAAGGGUUUUUGCAGAGAGACCCGUACGAUGUGGUAAUAUUUGUAAUUUUAAUGAUUGUUUACGGUGUUACGUGGUCAAUAAAGUAUGUAUUAACCAAAGUGAUCCAAGGGUGUCUUAAGUUUGCAUUAUAGUGAAAAAUGCAUUUGGAAGAAUCUUUUUUGUACACACACACACAAUAAAAUUGACACAAUACAGUUAUAAAAGAUAUGCAAAUGCUAUGCGACUGAGAAAUUUAUUGUGGAGAAAGAUAAUUUUGUAUGAAGCACCAAUUCUGGAUGUUUUGACAACGAAUGAUGUACUAUCAAAUUGAAUACGUCCUCGUUUGGUUGUUACAAUGAGGUGACCAAGAUAAGAUUAUUUUAAUUUUAUUAGGGUCUAAUUGUAUAAAUGCACCAAUAAUCUAUAAGAGAAGGGCACAAUUUUUUUCUUUUCAAUUUUUUUAGAUGCUCCCAAAAAUUAUUGAAUUAACUAAAUAUGAAAGAAGAUAUAAUUAAUCAUGAUGUAUCUUGUUAACCAACAAAGCCAAAAUAUUUUUGAGAGCGAUUUUUUUUCUCCUGAGAGACUUUGAUAAUCGCUUGAUGUAAAUAUUCAUUAUUGAACAUAAUUAAUUAUGGUAUUGAAGAAAGUUGAUUUCCUCAAUUUGUGUUAUGUAUUUGUGGACACUUUUUAUGCGCCGUGGUAAUAAAAUAGUUGAAAUUCCAAAAACUAAAAGCUUUAGAUUUCUAUCAUUUGUAUGGCUUGUGCACAAGGAAGAAUGAAUAUGGUCAGGAUAUGCAUCUUGAAAUAUAUAGCUUAUAGUCGAGAAUGGAAAAUAAGAACUUUCAUUUUCAGAAUAUUUUAUGUUAUAGUAUUUGGUGAUAGCUUUAUUAGAGGAAUAUUUGGUCAAUGAGCUUACAUUUGUUUUUAUGUAUUGGAUGCUUAGCUAGUUUGUCCGGAAAUACGUAUUGAAGUGUUGAACCACACAGCGCUGUUUUAAGCAGCAGUGUACUUUAGUUGCAUAAUGCGCUUUCUAAAAAAUAAUUUCCUAGUUGGUAAAAUAAUUUUCUAAGACUUUUCUGAUUAGCUAACUUUAUUUUUCAGCUUCAAGAUUUCAUGAGAAAGAAAAAUGGGAAACUAACUCUUGGUACACUGGACAUCGUGGUUGCAUCUUUUUUCUUCUUCGCUUUUUCGGGUUUAAAAGAAUCAUUGAAAUAAUUUUAAGUUUUUAACGUAUAGGGAUUACUCACGAUUAAAUGAAAAUCUAUAGGUGCAAAAAAUUUGCUCAUAAGUUGUUUGAUCUUAAUCUGGUAUGGGGGCUACAAAAGUUUGGGUUGAGCUCCAAAGUUAUAUGCAUCUAAUCAAAACAACAUCAAAUAUCUAUAUUAAGCUUUUAUUGCACUGUAUAACUUGGCACUUCUUUAGCUUAUUGAGCAGAAAUCAAGCUAAACUUGAUAAAUAGGCUGACUAAUAUGAUAUCAAAAUUUACCAUUCCUAGAAAAAUUAUGCUGAAAUGAUCUACUUAGCAGUUGGGUAGAUGUGUAUGGUUUGGUAAACCGACCGAACCAAAACCAAAGCUUUAGUUUGUACCGAAUACUGAACUGCUAUCCUGUUUGAUAUUCGUUUUCCAUAUUUCACAGUUUUGGUUCGGUGCUGAUACUUUUGGUUUAAGUUUAUGCAACUGAACUGUGCUUUUCUUUUUUCUUUUUUUUUUAAUCAAUUUCUGGUCAAUCUCCUUCCUGGCUUCCGUUCUCAACUUUUAUUUAUUUAUUUAUUAUUUGUUUUUCUUUUUUCUUCAAAGGAGGAGCCGUUCUCAACUGUUUGAUAUGAUUGCAGAAGAGAUUUUUUCCAUGUAUGGAUUCAUUCCUGGUAUUGUCAUAUGCCUUAUAUUAGCUAGUUUUAGUUCUUUUCUUCCACCAAAGAAAAUGCAAGUUAAUAAGUUUAAAAGAUUCUUUUUUUUUUUUUUAAUUCAUUUGGAAUUUUACAUGUAAGCCUUUUGGAAGAGCAAUCAAGAUCGAGAUGGAAUUUUUGAAAUUUCCAAAGAGCAUUGCCGAAAUAUGUUUAGUGUAACUUCAUUUGUCUAUAAUUCAGUUCUCCCGGGAUCUUUACGAAUAUACCGAGCCAAACCAAUUUUUUUGGUUUUGUGUAUUAAGUGUUGCAAAAUGCAAAAUGAUAUUUCUGUUUUCUAAUUUUGGGUUUGCUGAAUGCACAGGCCUAUUAGCAUUAGCAGUGGAUAUUGGGCUUCGAUAAGAAGUCCAAGAAAUGGCUCGUAGAAGUUAAAAAACGUAGUAAGGUACUGUCAAGCCCAUCCAAUAUAUUUUGUUUCCGUAUAUUGCUGCCAGCUAAGAAUUGUUAAUGCUAAUACGGCAAAUGAGUUGGUGAGUUGGUGGAUGGAUAAAUCAAAAUUUAUUGCAAUUGACUGUCGACCGUAUCACGGCAGAUUUUCUCACCAUUAUAUAACACGCAUUCUCCGUGCACCAAUUCAUUCACCAUAUCUCCAUUUCUCUAUUCCUCUUUCAGUUUUCUUCUCAUCAUUUUUUCAGAUUUAAGGCUUUGCUUUAUUUUUUGGUUGAAAAUCAGAUGAGAUUUGUGUUUAUAUCUGUAAGUUUUUUAAUUUCAUUUUGUUUUUGAAUGAUGCCUACAGUUUUUUCUUAUUCUUGUUACACCCCCCUCCCCCCCUCCCUAGCUGCAUUCAACUUUCAUUUUUCCACCGUGUAAUCAUUUUCUCGGAUUCAAGGAUUUUGAUAUAUUUCUGGUUCAAAAAACAAAGGAGAUAUCUGAUUUGACAUACAUCAUUUUUUUUUAAUUUUGUAAUUUUUGAUUUUUCAUUCCCUGUCGCCUAGUUGUUUCCGUCCAUUUCUUUUUGGCCAGUUUUCAUUCAUUUCUACUUUAGAUUAAUGAUAGAUCUCAUCUCGAUUUGAAGAUUAGUUUUCUAGGACAAGUUUUUGUGUCAUAGUUAUGUUGCUUCUCUUUCUGAUGAUUUUUUUUCCUUGUAGAGUUAUCAAUGAAGAAAUAUCCUCUACCGGAAAUAUGCAGAGGAACGUGCUCAAUUUUAAGGUAAAUUUCGUGAAAGUCAAUUAUGACAGAUCUCUUAGAACCAAAGAUUGAUAAACAGAGAACAACAGGGAUCUGUUGUUGUCUUUCAAAAAAAAAAAUCUAGUCUUCAGUCACAAAAUGAUUUAGUAAAUAAACUUAUCUUAGUUAACUUAAUCAACAGAUCUUAAUUAACUUAAUCAACAGAUCUUACAUUAGAUACCCAUGUGAAAUGGAAGGAAGCUAUCUAUAUUUCUUUUUGAGAGGGUUAUAUCCGUAACUGUAGAUCUCUUAUAAUUUCACUCUCGUAAAGUAAGAUAUUCAAAAAGUAUCUUAUGUUAGCAUGUUUGUCUUUGGGUAUGACAGAGGAAAAGAAGCGACUCAAACAACUGUCAUCAAUGCCACAAUAAGGACAAAGAAAAUGUCCUACAGAUUCGGCGACGCGGUUUUCGUACCAGCUGGCUGCCCUCACCAAGCUAGAAACCUAAAGGUUUGUGUGUUUGACUCGUAUACAACUUCGUGAACGACGACUUCAAUUAUUUUCCAUCGAAUGUAAAUUUUUCGCUGUGAAUUUUGCAAUUAACUUUUGUGUACGAUGCUCCAUCUUGCAGUCGUGCACAAGUAUGUCUAUCGACUUUGUUUCAGCAGAAAGUGUCGGUGAGUGCAUCCGCCUGUCAACGGAAUAUCGGUCGACUCCCUCACAAUCAUAGUUCUAAGGAAGACAAAUUGCAGGUAUGUAAAAUAAUAUGAUUGUCUUGUCAAUAACUAAAACCGGAGAUAUAUAUAAUGAAUAAAAAUUUGUCUGCUUGUAAGAAAAAUAAAGAUUGCGGACGACAUCUAACGGCUCGUAAUAAAACAGGUGAAGGGAUUGGUUCUCAGCGCUGUACUUGGACAAGAUUGAUGCGUAAGUCAUAUAUGCUUGUUAAAUAAACAUAUGUCUUUGAUACGAUACGAUGUUAAUUCAUUUUAUUUUAUUCUUUACCAGUAUUACGUUAAGAAGUCCAUUUGCACCGUACGCCAGAAUCCAGCUCAGCAAGGGGAGAAACCUAGUCUUUCACAAAUGAGGAGGGAGUUGGAGCGGAUGAAAUCGGCUCUCGAAACGAAAGGCCACCUUUUUCAACCGCAUAUGAAAGACUAUCUCUUAAAAGAGAUUCCGCUCCUCACACGCUUUAAUAUGCUCUUUCAGAUAUGGUACAUUUGCACCCUCUAUACGCAUCGGAAUGUACAUCGGAAUCCUGCGCUGAUGAAAAAGAAUGUGUUGGCAGGUGAUUAAGUUUACUCUUGAAAGAAUGUGUAGCUAGAAACUAUGGAGAACCUCUGGCUGCUGUUAUAUUUAUAUAUACUUCAUUACUGUUUAACAUGAUUUAUAUAUAUGUUGGUGAGUAUUUGUUGAUUAUUGUUUUUAUUUACUAUAUAUAUAUAUAUAUAUAUAUAUAUAUAUAUAUAUAUAUAUAUAUAUAUAUAUAUAUAUAUAUAUAUAUAUAUAUAUAUAUAUAUAUAUAUAUAUAUAUAUAUAUAUAUAUAUAUAUAUAUAUAUAUAUAUAUAUAUAUAUAUAUAAAUAUAUAUAUAUAUAUAUAUAUAUAUANNNNNNNNNNNNNNNNNNNNNNNNNNNNNNNNNNNNNNNNNNNNNNNNNNNNNNNNNNNNNNNNNNNNNNNNNNNNNNNNNNNNNNNNNNNNNNNNNNNNAGGAAAUUCCUCGUCCAAAAAUUAUGACAUCUUAUUGGUAACUUGGUGGUCCCUACUAAUUUUUCUUCUCAUUAUUUGAAGGAAUACGGGGCAUGAUCGAGAGUUGGCAAGAGAUGUAUUUUCAGAAUCAGGUACUAAUUUAAUUUUGGAUGUUGAAGAGUAGCCUUAGUGCUCUUUUAAGUGUCAAAUAAUCGGAAAGUGCUUCAUCUGAGAACAUUUAUAUGAAAAACGAAAUGUCGCAGAUAUGAAUGCGUGACUUAGUUAUUCAAGACUAACGGAUAUAUUAAUAUAUGUCUUCAGUUAACUUGUUCAAGUAUUGAUCAAAUAUAUUAUACACAAUUGCAAGUGAUAUUACUCUUCGAUAUGUUCAAACAUUUCAAAAGAACUUUGGUUUUAGGAAAAGAAAUCGUGCCGGAUAUUUGUAAGAUAAUACAAUCGGGAAUGAGGUUUUUAGCAUCACUCCUUGAGUUUUUGCUUUUUUCAUACCUAGGUAAUUUAAAUUAAUGGCUCAAGGAAGUUCACAAUAGACUGUAUGGUAGAUUUCAUAUCUCGCCAAAUGUCAUUUUGCUGACAGCUAUGGUUGGUGUAACUGCUAAUAUGUAAAAUUAGCUGGCAUCGUCACUGGAUAUGAAGCAAUUUAUUAGGGGUCGAUACAAUCAAUGCUGACCUUAUCGGAUUUAUUGGCGGAGUUCCCCACAAAUAAAUUUUACCCUCCCCUCCCUCCCUACUCCCAUUCUUCUAUCUCGCCCAUUCUCUCCACCUCUGUAUCCCUUGUUCAAUUUUCAAUCUUCAUCUCCUCAUUUUCUCAAAUUAAAAGCUUCUGUUUUGUUUGUGGUUCAGAAUCAGAAGAGUUUGUGAUCUGAUUUAGGUGAUUUUAUAUUACCUUUUCUUGUUUUUCCCUUUUUAUUCUUAAACUUGAUGAACUGAGUUUGCCAUCUAAUUUCCACCUCUUUCAUGUUUCAUUUCAUGACACGAUAUCUUCUAUUUUAGAUUAAAAAAGAACAUGUGUUUGUCAUCUUGAUUUUGAAGAUUAGAUUUUAGGAUUAGUUUUCUUACUCCUCCUUGGUGAUUAUUUUAUCGUUUAUGUUGUAGAAACUAAGGUUGGUUUAGUCACUGCAUGUAUUCUUACUUAUAAUUAAAAAUUAAAAUAAUAGAUGUAUAAUUAGAGUGGUGCAAUCCUUAUGAAGAAACCAAUAACCACUAUUAUAUACUCUAUAUUUUUUUUCCUUAACCUGUAUCUCCCACUUUUUUUUUUUUUUUUGUAGUAGAAUUUAGAGGACAAAAAAACAUUAGUCGGCAAUACUCGGCAUAGGUCAUGUGAACAUAUUAAUUUUUUUUAUUUUAAUGGUUGAAAUAUUUAUUAAUAGAUUCUGGUGAACUAGUUACUAGGACCAGUUUUAUUGUCAGUGUGCAUAAGUAGUAAGUAGCAAUAAUUUAAAAUUAAUAUUUUUCUUUAAAUGUCCUUAAGGAAUCCUAAUUUGAGAUUUUUUUCCUGGGCCCUCCAUUUUACAGGCAUGGUAAGUAAAAACGUUUUUGGUUAGUGAGAAGGAAAAUGAUUUACAUAUUUAUGUGAAUCAUCAUAAUUCAUAAGAUUGCAAUAGUCAGUAUUAUAUUGCAGUAAUAUGUAUAAGUUUGCAAUAGUCAACAUUAUAUUGCAGUGAGCAGUAUCGGAUUACAGUAAUCAACACAAUUUUCCUUUUUUGCUAGUAAGACAUGCUUAUUUCAUUUCCCUGGAACAAUUAUGCAUACAUUUUGCCAUUGCAGUUAAGAGAACGUGGUGCUCUGACUGAGAAAACAAUUGAAAACCAAGAUUUAUCAAGGCAAUUAAUUUCGGGGAGUUAAAAUGAUGCCAUUGAGAAGUUCAAAUGGAGAAACAUCUUCUGCUGGAAAUAUGCAAAUGAACGGACACAACUUAAAGGUAAAUUAAUAAUGUUAAUUGUAGCAGAUCUAUAGAACAAAACAAUUCGAAACAGAAAAUAACAUGUUGCCUUCCUAGUAUUAUGUAUAUCAGUUGAGAUUUAAAUUUGAUAUAAGUAUAUAGGUUGCAGAAUUCAGUUAUCCAUGCAAUUGUCUUGUAUCAACUACUUUUUAGAAGUAAAAAAUCAAAUUGCAUGUGUAAAUACCAAGUUAGAAAAACCCCUUUUCAGACUAUUCGUAGUGAAAUUACUUUGACUAAAUACAUUUAUUUGUAAGUGUGGAUUCUUCGAUUUUGUGAUGUUGGUCUUGAAUUAUUUAGUCUUCAAUCAUGAAGUGAUUUAAUGUAAAUAAAUGUAUCUUUGUUAUUUUAAUCAAUAGAUCUAAACAUUAGAUAUCCACUGGACAUGAAUAUAUAUAUAUAAGGCGGCAGAAAACAAUGAUAUGUCACCACAAUUAAAGUUAAGAUCCUAAAGAAGAUUAUAUCCAGAACCGUAGAUCUCAUCUAAUUCAUUCCAUUGCCAACUUUUCAUAAAGUACUAUAUUAAAAAUCGAGGAUAUACUCUAUGUUAAUAUGUUUUUCUUUGGAUGUGGCAGAGGAAAAGCAUCGACUCGACCAAUUGCCAUCAAUGUCAUAGAAACGACAAAGAAAAAGUCGUGCGAUGCACCAAGUGCAAGCAUAGGGGUUAUUGUAUUCUCUGUAUCAAUAAAUGGUGAGAAAUUUUGUUGCUUGAUAUAUUUUUUGUUGCUCUUAUGUUGGUACUUGAUAAAUGUCAUUUAAGUCGUACUGAUUAAUUUUGAGUUUUACCGCCACAAAGCAGGAUGGUAUAUUUAUUAUCUUCUCUUUGGAAUAGACCUACUACUCAUUUAGUCAUUUAUGAAUGAAUUUUUGCUUAAACAUGUUUCAAAGUAAGGGCUUCCCUUGGUUCUACACUAACAUUAUUCCUGCAUUUUCUUCAUUUUAUAGAUAUAUUUUUUUAUCGUCGAUGCUCUUGCAUAUAGAUUUACUAUAUCUCUGUUGUAAUCACAGGUACAAAGGGCUGCAAGAGGCAGACUUUGCUGAAGCAUGCGCAGGCUGUCGCAAAAUUUGCAACUGUACAGCUUGCAUACAUUCUGAUUUGGAGAAUAAAGUUAGUAUUAAGGUUUUUCUCUUGAUUUUAUAUUAAUAUAGUAUUUUAUAUGUUUUCUAAUUAAGUCUCUUGUUCUUGCAUGUUAGGACAUGUUCAAACCAGACUUGCAGCUUGACAUCAACAAAAAGGUCGAGUACUCAAAAUAUAUUAUUAGAGUACUUCUUCCUUCUUUUAGGAAGUUUGUUGUUGAGCAGAACAUAGAAAGAGAAGAAGAGGCAAGAAUUCAAGGUAACUUUAACUUUUGUUAGGAGGUUUUAACGUUCACCUGUAUUACACUUUUUGUUUAGAAAAUUAUUUUGAUAUCUCUUAUCUUCUUCUUACUGAUAUGGAUUUUGAUGCCUCCAAACGAAAUCAAAGAGUCCUAAAAUGGUAUUUAAUGGCACUAUGCAUUAUUGAAGUUUCAGGAUGAUGUUUUCUAAUAAUAUUAAUUUCUGCCGUGUAGAAGUGUUGAACAUAUUUACAGUUUAUCGUACACUACUUGUUUCCUGAAGAUCCAUGAGUUUAGAAGGGAGAUUCUUGUUUUAGGUGUGCCUUUGUUUGUGUUACUAAACACUCUGGAAACAGUAAGCAUAUCUAAAUCUUAUGUUCUUAUCCAUCACCACUGCUCACGGCCAUUAUCCUGCCAAACAUGUAUAUUGAAUUGUUUAUUCAACAAAUAUAAUAAAUAGAAAAGGAUUUUAUGUUAACAGUUUCCGUCAAUUGUAUGUGCUACUCCAUUUCAGUGAUUUAUGAUUUUGAGGUAUUAGUGAGACGUACCUGGAGAUAAACAUAAUUGAUAGGACUUUUGAUUUUCCCUAGCAGAUGUAGUUUCGUUGUUUGAUUAAUUAUAAUAUAUAUAUAUUUUUGGUUGGGCAGGUGUUUCAGUUGCGGGACUUCAGCUUCCGAAAGCCAACUUUAUCCAGGGCAAUAAAGUCAAAUGGUGGAUACUUUUAACCUAUGUCGUUUUCCUGAUAAAUGUUUGCUCCAGUAUGCAAAAUGUUGAUAAUUAUAACUUGUGCUGUGCAGCGACAACUGUAAGACUGCAAUAUUCGAUAUCCACAGAAGUUGUCUAAACUGCACGUACAAGCUCUGUGUAACUUGUUGCCGAGAGAUAAGGAAUGGCUUCCAAUGGGGAAAUGACAAAUAUCACGUUCAUCAUGGGGGUCGUACUUUUACAAGCAAUGACAGAUUUUCUGCAGCAGCCUGUUGUUCUAUGGACCACACGAGUUUUACUUCUGAAUGGAAGAUGAUAGACAGAGGUACCAUAGUUUGUCCACCUGAAAUUAUGGGGGGAUGUGCUCAUGGGAAUAUGGUGUUAAAAUCCACAUAUCCAGAUAACUGGGUAUCGGAACUGCUAAUUAAAGCAGAGUCCAUAGAUCUCGAGGUGGGUGAAAUUUCUGAACAAGCAUGCUCAUGUUCAGGGAGUGAAGUCUGUAAUUUCCGUUGUCCCACAGUUGUGGGCGUUGACCAAAAGCACUUCCAACGGCACCUAUAUAAAGGUGAGCCCGUGAUAGUCCCUGACGUGCUCAGCAGGACGACUGGGUUGAGUUGGGAGCCAUUAGUCAUGUGGCGUGGUUGCCGCAAAUCUAGAAGGACUAAUGAUGCUCGCAUUCUGGAAUUCAGCGUAACGAAUUGCGUAAAUUGGUGCAAGGUAUGCCAUGCCGACUUCUCUAUUAUGUUUUACUCUAUCAAUCAAAAAGUUUUAAUUUGGAAUUUUGUGAUUGGAUGACUCUCACCUUCGCUUAUUCUUACAUCCUUUUAUUUGUUAUAAUAGUAACAAAUGAAUUUUCUAAUAAAUCAUGUUGUUCUUCGUAUCCCCCCCCCCCCCCCCCCCCCUUUUCUCUCAAUCAUGAUCUUAUUUCUUGUAAUUGAUUCUAGGUUGUAUUGUUUAUGUUCUUGAGAAUUCACUUGCUGCAAAUGGCUGCAGUAUUCUAUUGGUCCAUGUAAUCUUUCAAGAGAAGAACCAAGUAACAGAAAUAGUAAUCGUUUAUUUUCCUUAGUUUUCUUGCAAAUUUCUCUUCAUAUUGUGUCAACCUUCAAAAUCUCAAAACUUUAGUUGGGUUAAUAAGUGUCUAACACGAAUUUGGAUAGGAGAAAGCAAAGAUCUAACGAUUCGCUCUUAAAUAGAGAUGUUUUGAUAGAUUUGCUCUUGAUGUUUUUUUUUUUGCAUUUAAUUGUAAUGAUUUGAUUUUGGGACUAUGACACGCAGGAAACUAUAAACAUGCACCAAUUUUUCAACGGGUAUUCUGAAGGCCUCUUGGACAGUGAAGGCCGGCCCAAAAUUAUGAAGUUGGAGGAUUGGCCUCCAACUGAAUCCUUUCAAGAACGGCUGCCUCGGCAUUUCGUAGAGUUCAUUAGAUGCUUGCCUUUCAAGCUAUACACACAUCAAGCUGGCUACCUCAACAUGCCAGCGAAAGCACCAAAAAAGUCGUUGAAGCCGGAUUUGGGUCCAAAAAUAUGCUUUGCUUAUGGAGUUAAUGAGGACCUUGGCUUCUGUUCUGCAACCAAGCUUCAGUAUGCUCUUUCAGAUAUGGUACAUUUUUUCUUUAUAUCUGUCUUUAUUAACUUGAAUAUUUAUGAGAAUACAUGAGCUGCUUUAAAUCAUUUCCGAUUAGUCUGCCUAUUGCAUCGAUAGAAGCAGUACAUCUCCCAAAGAAUAUUCUUAUGAAGUCGUGGGUAUUUAUAUCUAUUCAAUGCAGUCCUAAUUCUUCUUUCUUGCAUUUAAUAUGUUAAUCUUAAUUGUUGACUCAUUAUACGAGUUGUCGAAGAAAUCUUGGAGUCUUUCUUGAUGUUUAAUAUUUUUGUUAGCUAAAUCAUUCAACUUUACCUUGUUGAUUGCACUCAAGAUCUCUUUCUAUCAAUGCCUAAGUUGUUCGUAUGGAACAUACGAACAAGUGACUACAACAAGUCUGAAUUUGUAUUAUAUUUGUUGUCAGGAUCCUGCUUUUGUUGAUUCUAACUUUCCUUUCUUUUUUAAUUUGUUUUAGGUCAAUGUCUUGAUGCAUACAGCUGCAACGUCUCUUAAUCCGGAUGAGCUUUCAACAAUAGUGGAGUUAGGAAGGAAGCACAUUGCCCAAGAUCCAGUGGUAUUUUCUGUAAGCACUGGGAAAGCAUAUCAAGAUGCCACGAGGAAUCAACAAUUUGAAAGGGAAAGUAAAAAUAAAGGGAAGGAAAAAUUUGAUCCUUCAACCUCAGGAAACAACGAUCAAAGCUUCGAUGAACAAAAAUGUGGUGCUAUCUGGGACAUUUUUCGGAGGCAAGAUGUUCCUAAGCUGGAACACUAUCUUCGGAGGCAUUACGGAGAGUUCAGGCGUGUCGUCCCUUUGCAGCAAGUAAUUAAAUCUUGAAUUUGAAAACAAUGUUCUACUCAACUUAUUCUGUUAUGGGGUUUAUCUCUCAUAUGGCAGUUACUAUUAUUUUUCUAGCAGAAUUCUGAAAAUCAAAAUUUUGUUAAGCUUUUGGUAUGAUCUUUUAUUGCCGUAGCAUAAGUAGACAGAUGUCUUUUAUUUUUCCAAAGUAUCGAUAUGUUUUGGAAUAUUACUAGUUUAUUUUUUCCCUCUAUUCGUGCACAGCUGGUUCAUCCUAUUCACGAGAAAGCAUUUUACUUAACAAUGGAGCAUAAAAGGAAGCUGAAAGAUGAAUAUGGUAUGUUUUUAUUGUGUUGUAAAGUGGAAUACGUGUGAAUUGCUAUGUAUAUUGAUUAUCUAUUUUUAUUAUGUUUUUUCUUGUAGGAAUUGAACCAUGGACCUUUGUCCAGAGAUUAGGCGAUGCAGUUUUGGUACCAGCUGGCUGCCCUUACCAAGCAAGAAACUUAAAGGUUUGAGUGUUUGACUCGUAUACAACUUCGUGAACGACGACUUCAAUUAGUUUCAGUCGAAUGUAAAUUUUUCGCUGUGAAUUUUGCAAUUAAUUUUUGUGUGCAUGUUCCAUCUUGCAGUCGUGUACGAGUAUGUCCAUCGACUUUGUUUCAGCUGAAAGCGUCGGUCAGUGCAUCCGCCUAUCAACGGAGUAUCGGCGUCUCCCAAAGAAUCAUAGUUGUAAGGAAGACAAGCUGCAGGUAUUUCAAAAAUAUGAUUGUAUUGUCAAUAAACAAAAUCAAAGAUAUAUAAUGAAUAAAAUUUGCCUGCUUGUAAGAAAAAUAAAGAUUGCGGAUGACAUCUAACGGCUCGUAAUGAAACAGGUGAAGGGAUUGGUUCUUAGUGCUGUCUGCCAAGCUGUGCAGUACGUGGACAAGAUUGAUGCGUAAGUCAUAUAUACAUAUGCUUGUUAAACAUAUGUCUUUGAUACGAUGUUAAUACAUUUUAUUUUAUUCUUUACCAGUAUUGCGCUAAGAAGUCCAUUUGCACCCCCCUUUGAGCAUGGGAACGUACGCCAAAAUCCAGCUCAGCAAGAGGUGAGACCUAGUAUUUUGCAAAUGAGGAGAGAGUUGGAGCGGAUGAAAUUGGCUCUUGUAACGAAAGGCCACCUUUUUCAAUCGCAUAUGAAAGACUAUCUCUUAAAAGAGAUUACGCUCCUCACGAACAAAAUAAACUCCACUGCUGGCUCUUCAUCUUAGUCACACCAUUUUCAAUGGUUAGCCUACUUGUUGAGUUAACAUGUCUUGCCUUAAUUAUUAUUUUGACAUUUUCAUCAGUGGAACUAUACUUUAUUUAUAUAAUUUUGAGCCAUACUUUUGUCCGAUUUCAUGAAUUUCGAAGGCCCUGAGAAUUUUCGAGUUGGUUUUGGCAUGAUGCAGGCUAAUGUUUCUGUUUUUUGGUUAUAGUAUUAAGUUUGGGAAAAGGCAAAUUGAUAUUUCUGUCUGCUAAUGUUGUGUUUGCUGAAUGCACAGGCCUGUUAGCAGUGGAUAUUGGGUUUAGGUGCUCAUGAGAAGUUCACGAAACGUAGUAAGGUACUAUCAAACCCGUCCGGUAUAUUUUAUAUCUUUCCAAAAUGUAUAUUGUUGCCAGCUAAGAUUGGUCAAUGCUGAAACGGUAGAUGAGCUGGCGUGGCUUGGCGUGGCUGGAUAAGGCACAAUUUAUUGCGAAUCGCUGCAUUGACUGCCGGCCUUAUCACGGUAGAUUUUCUCACCAUUAUAUAACACUCGUUUUCCUUCAUCCAUUCAUUCCCAUAUCUCCCAUCUCUCUCAUCCUCUCUCAUCCUCUCUCAGUUUUCUUCUCGUCGUUUUCUCAGAUAUUUCCCACCCCUCUUAUUUAGUUUUCGAAUGAUGANNNNNNNNNNNNNNNNNNNNNNNNNNNNNNNNNNNNNNNNNNNNNNNNNNNNNNNNNNNNNNNNNNNNNNNNNNNNNNNNNNNNNNNNNNNNNNNNNNNNNNNNNNNNNNNNNNNNNNNNNNNNNNNNNNNNNNNNNNNNNNNNNNNNNNNNNNNNNNNNNNNNNNNNNNNNNNNNNNNNNNNNNNNNNNNNNNNNNNNNNNNNNNNNNNNNNNNNNNNNNNNNNNNNNNNNNNNNNNNNNNNNNNNNNNNNNNNNNNNNNNNNNNNNNNNNNNNNNNNNNNNNNNNNNNNNNNNNNNNNNNNNNNNNNNNNNNNNNNNNNNNNNNNNNNNNNNNNNNNNNNNNNNNNNNNNNNNNNNNNNNNNNNNNNNNNNNNNNNNNNNNNNNNNNNNNNNNNNNNNNNNNNNNNNNNNNNNNNNNNNNNNNNNNNNNNNNNNNNNNNNNNNNNNNNNNNNNNNNNNNNNNNNNNNNNNNNNNNNNNNNNNNNNNNNNNNNNNNNNNNNNNNNNNNNNNNNNNNNNNNNNNNNNNNNNNNNNNNNNNNNNNNNNNNNNNNNNNNNNNNNNNNNNNNNNNNNNNNNNNNNNNNNNNNNNNNNNNNNNNNNNNNNNNNNNNNNNNNNNNNNNNNNNNNNNNNNNNNNNNNNNNNNNNNNNNNNNNNNNNNNNNNNNNNNNNNNNNNNNNNNNNNNNNNNNNNNNNNNNNNNNNNNNNNNNNNNNNNNNNNNNNNNNNNNNNNNNNNNNNNNNNNNNNNNNNNNNNNNNNNNNNNNNNNNNNNNNNNNNNNNNNNNNNNNNNNNNNNNNNNNNNNNNNNNNNNNNNNNNNNNNNNNNNNNNNNNNNNNNNNNNNNNNNNNNNNNNNNNNNNNNNNNNNNNNNNNNNNNNNNNNNNNNNNNNNNNNNNNNNNNNNNNNNNNNNNNNNNNNNNNNNNNNNNNNNNNNNNNNNNNNNNNNNNNNNNNNNNNNNNNNNNNNNNNNNNNNNNNNNNNNNNNNNNNNNNNNNNNNNNNNNNNNNNNNNNNNNNNNNNNNNNNNNNNNNNNNNNNNNNNNNNNNNNNNNNNNNNNNNNNNNNNNNNNNNNNNNNNNNNNNNNNNNNNNNNNNNNNNNNNNNNNNNNNNNNNNNNNNNNNNNNNNNNNNNNNNNNNNNNNNNNNNNNNNNNNNNNNNNNNNNNNNNNNNNNNNNNNNNNNNNNNNNNNNNNNNNNNNNNNNNNNNNNNNNNNNNNNNNNNNNNNNNNNNNNNNNNUCGCGCCUUUGACCCCCGCCCUUUCCCGGGAAGUUUUUUCCCCCAUUAAAAAAACCUGGUUUUCCUUAACCCAUUAAUUCCAAUUUUCCCCAUUUUUUUAACCCUUUUUAACCCUUUUAAAGUUUUUUUCUGGGGGUUUUUCAAAAAAUUGGAAAGUUUUUUUUUUGGUUUGGGAGGGGGGCUUCCCCCCCCCCCCCCCCCCCCCCCCCCCGGCCCUAGAUGUAUUCAACAUUUAAUUUUCCAUCUUCCAACUAUUUUAUCGGAUUGAUGAUUUUUGAUUUAUUCUGGUUCAAAAUCAGAUGACAUGUCGUUAAUUGAGAUACUCAAUUUAUUUUUGUUUUUGUUUUUGAUUUUGUACUUUCAUCCCCCCCCUCCCGAGUUGAUUAACUUAUCAAUUUCUUUCUGGCAAUAUUCAUUUCUCUGGAUAUUCUUGAAAACACGACAGCUUUUACUUUGGAUUAGAAAGAGUACUCAAAGAGAUCAUAUAUUUUUGCAUUUCGAUUUGCAGAUUAGUUUUCUACGACUAACUUUUGACUUUUGUGUCCUAGCUAUCUUGCUCCUCUUUCUGAUGACCCUUUUUUUUUCUCUUCUUUUUUUUAUUGUGAAGUUACCAAUGAGGGAAAAUUCAGACGAAGCGCCCCAAUCUGAAGGUAAAUUUCGUAAUUACAAUCCUGGCACUUCUCUACUAUGAUUUAUCCCGUCAAUUGAAAAAAAUGUAAUGUGAAAUAUGUGAUUGGUUACGACACCUUUGCUCGUUUUACGUUCUUUUGUUUGCUGGAUUAUUUACAAAUUAACUUUCUAAAAAUAACGAUGUUCUUCGUAUAGCUUAUUUCAUCAAUCAUGGUCUUAUUUCCUGUGAUCGUGUCUUGGUCGUGGUUUGCACUUCACAUUUCAAUUAACUCACAACGUGGCUUGUAAAUCUCUUUGUGGCCGGCCAACAUCUUCAAAAUGUCAAUACUCUGUUUGGCUCAAGUGGUUUUUCGUUCAUGAAUUUUUAGCCGUGAAGAUCUUUAUGUGCUCUCUUAAUGUUUUAUUGCAAUUUUAAUUCAUGAAUAUAUAUGUUGGUUCUACCCUUUUUAUCGGCUACGUAUAAUUUCUUAUUCCAGGGGAGAUACAUAUACCUAGUCUUGCAGAAGUGGAGAGGGAGUUGAAGAGGAUGAAACUGAUUCUCGAAACAAAAGGCCACCUUAUUGACCCUCAUAUGAAAGCCUAUCUUUUGCAAGAGAUUUUGAGCCUCCUUAACAAAGUAAGCACCUCUGCCGAGUCUUCUACGUCUCAGUGACACCAUAUCUACCGAUGCGUUAAUGUUUUUCAUACUAUAAUUUUGAGCAAUAUUAUUUUUUCUUCGUUUUUUUGUGAGUUGUAGUGAGUUUGGCUAAUCAGCUUUGACAUGAAUGAACUUUUGUUUUUUAUUAUAAUAUAUAUCUCUAAUUUCGUAGCAAUAUGUUGUAGCAGUUUCAUCUUUUUCCUACUUUGUAAUUCGUACCAUGAUUUAAUUUUCUUAAUAAUAUAAAACGGAUGGAGUAAAUGUAUUGAAAACUGGAUCGGACGUUGACCCGAACGAGCUAUUGAAUCACGGUUGGAUCGGGUUUUUUUUUUCAUUUUUUAUUUUAUAAUUAUUUACAUAAUUUUAAUAGUAAAUAAAACAUAUUUCUUUCACACACACAUUAACUCAUUUGCAAUUAAAAUGUAAAGCAAACUCAAUUUUCUUUUACACACACACACACCAUAUCAAAAUACACAUAUCAAAUCGAAUCAUUUCAAAUAUUAUAGAAAUUAUAAUUAAAAAUAAGGUUUAUUACACUACACCAAAAAGGCUAUUUACUAACAGAUAUAUCCAUUACAAAUAAUUUUUCUAACGGGAUAAAACCGUUAGAAAUAGUGCGUGAGAAAUUUAAUCGUCUGUAUUUCCAACGGAUAUAAACCGUUAGAAUAAUUAACAAACUGUUAGAAAAAUAAAUAUUUCUAACGGUUCUUAUCCGUUAGAAACAUUGUUGUAACGGUUUGUGUUUUAACACUUACUUCUAAAUUCCUAACGGAUAUGGCCGUUAGAAAAAUUAAGAGAAAAAAAACAAAAAAAAAAGUUUAAAUAAAAUAAAUAAUAUUAUAUAUAUAUAUAUAUAUAUAUAUAUAUAUAUAUAUAUAUAUAUAUAUAUAUAUAUAUAUAUAUCUCUAUAUAUCUAUAUAUAUAUAUUGCUCUGAAUUUUGAAAUAAAUUGCAAUUUAUAAAACAUAAGGUCUCUAUAAUUACAUAAAAAAAUGAAUUUGAAGUGUAAAAAAAUCGAUGUAUACAAUCCACCAUUACAUUUCACUAUCCAUAAAUCCAUACAGUAACCACAAGUCCUUAAGACUCAUGCUAAUCUAUACCAAACAGAGAACUUAAACACAUAUACAUACUAACCAACCAAAAGAAAAAUAACAUAUCCCUUGAACCUGGUAUCAUAGAAUUCCUACCUAUUAAGCUGUUAAGAUCACCAACUCAACCCAUAACCCAUACCGGGGUGUUCCCCCCAGUUCCGAUAUUCAGAGCAUUUUGACCUGAAUCCAUAAACAAGAGAAAGUUAUGUGAGAUAAAAAUGCAAUUACCUGGUAUUUUCUUAUCACGUUGAACAAAAUGACAUGAAAUCAUGGACAAAGAACAAAGAACUAUAGAUCUUAUAACUCUUUUUGUUCAUUUAGCAUUCCAGAUGUAAUACAACAAAAAUCGUCAAAAAUAAUGAAAAAUGUUAGUACAAAAAUAUUACACAGACAUGAUAAAACACAUUGUCUCCACAUUAUAUAUACAACAAAAAAUGCAAGAUUAUUACCUGUAUGGCGUCCUACCUGCGGCACCAGGAAAUAUAAGUUAGUAAAACUCAAUAGUAAUAAUACAUGAUACUAUGCAAUAGUAAUAAUACAUGAUACUGCAACCUGCCAAACUUGAUCAAUAGGUGAUGGUGGUCUAAGAAUUGGACAUGGUGCCACAUAAUCAACAAAUUAUCAAAAGGCUGUAGAUGUAAAUUAGAAUUUCAAUAAUAUGUAUUUGAGAUUCCUACCUUCCAUAUAACCAAAUCAGCAUAAUCUUGGAAAUGGAAAUAAAACUUCUUCUUCAGGCAUUGCAUUCUUGGACAAACAAACAAAUACAUUACACAUAAGCUGAUAGGUAAUGUUAGGUGAAAAAAAUUGUUUUCUUGAGAAUUAAAAGCAGAAAAUAUCAAGACAUUAUAAUAAAAACUCAAUGGCUCACAUUAGAUAAGUCCAGCAGAUUUUAAUACAGGACAUAAAAAAAACGAGUUCAAAAAUCUUUAUGAUUUUCAUCACUACUUAUACGACUCACCAAUGUUGGGUCAUUUUCUUCAUCCAUAUGAAUGAGAGAAUGCGAUGUUUCAAACUACUAAAAAAGAAGAUUCAGGAAUAUGUUAGAUAUGAUCCGAGGCAUUCAAUACUUUAGCUGUUCUACAUUUGCCCGAGUUGACAUACACUGAAAUUUAACAAUAAAACUGCCCAUCAAAACCAACACAGAUAACUAAGUUAUCAUCAAGAAACUGUAAAAUGAAAUAAAAUUAUAAGUUCGACUUUUCCCCAAGUUUAAAUAGACUGCAAUUUAACACAAAAAAAAAAAUGCCCAUCAAAAUAAACCAAAUAACCAAGUUCUCAACAAGAAACUGUAAAAUGAAAUAAAAAUCUAAAAAGGAAUAAAAAAUAGAUCAAUAUUCAUUAAGCUCAUCUUUUCCUUAUGGUGUCAAUUUAAGAGCGUGUGACUAUACCAGUUGCCUGAUCACUGGAAUCGGGGAAAAGCUCAUCAUCUUCACGGCAAUAUUCUCCAACCGACCGCACAUCAACAAGAUCGCCAGAGUCGAAUCUGAAGAAUCGGAUUCUCUGAUUUGCUGAUUUCAUCAAAUCAAAAGCGAAAAAGUUUAGAACCUAUCACAAAAAAAGAUCUGAAAACGCUUCCAAUUUGAAGAAUAUGCGACUAAAAAUUAAAAAUUACCAUAAAUCAACGAACAACUUUUGCUGAAGCAUCUGCAUCCAAUAUUGUUGUUCGCCGUCGAAUUGAAAAGGUGUAUUGUGGGUGGUGGUGCAAGAGAACCGAUAACCCUACACGUUCUUUCUCACCCCAUCGGUUUUCUUUUCCUUCACCAGACUAGAAGAUAGAGAAUGGAUUGGUUUUUAAUAAAUAUUAAAUAAUGAAAAUUCCUUAAUUUUAUUUUUAAUGUAAAUAUUAUAUAAUAUAUUAUAGAUUUAGUUCAUGUAUUACCAACGCAUACCAACCGUUAGCAAUAACUUUUCAAUUGUUACUAAUUUAAUACAAAUAAAUUAUUAUUAAUUCUAACGGAUAAGUAAAUUUUCUAACGGAUAUAGCCGUUAACAAUUUCUAACGGCAUAUAUCCGUUAGAAGAUACAAACUUAUGCCGUUAGAAAAAUCUCCUUUUGGUGUAGUGUUAGCGAGUCCCCUCAAUAUUUAUUUCAAUAAUUUUUUUUUUAAUAAAUUCGUCUUUUUUUUCUUGGAAGAUUUAUCAUCUCGUAAACAACUACAAAUUACAAUAAUCAACUAUACUUACUAAAUUGUAAUGGACUACAAAUUUCAGUAAUCAAUUACAAAAUUAUAAUACGACUACAAUUUAUAACAAAGACAAAUACAAAAACAGUUCAAUCCAACUACAAAUUUUAGCAACCAACUACAAGCUACAGUUUAUAGUAAUUCACUACAAUUUACCGAAAACAACGACAAAUUCAUCAAAACCAACUACAAAAUCAUCGAAACCAUCUACAAUAUUAUCGAAAUGUACUACGAAAAUAGCGAAAUCAAUUUCAAAAGAAUAUAUUAUCUUGUACCGCGCGACUAAAUUGUAAGAGAAGGGUUGCAACCAAUACCAAACUCCAGCCUCACCGUGUCAAAACCAUCGACGCUACCAAGACUUAGAUAGCGACCAAUACCAAACCCCAUAGUCGUCUCGCGAAAAUAUUAACACUGUUGCGCAAAAAACAGUAAAAAAAACGCCACCAAUCGUGUUGUACCACCUAAUCCGCGGAUAUCUAUAUAUCACCAUCUCGUUGUUGCCGGAAUAGAUGAACGUAUUAAAAUGUCGUGGCUUUGAAGUGUAAGAAGAUCACCCUUGGAAAAGCACAGUUGUGGAAGACGUUCAGGUGGUUUCCGUUGUCGGAGAUUUCAUCAUAGUCGCCCAAGCCUUCGCCGCCGACCUAAUGCAACAAAUGAUUAUUUUUGUGAUUUCCGCCUCGGAUUGAAGAUUAGACGAUGAGCAGACAGAGAACGUGUAAAGAGAGAGAGUUGUGAAGACCGUGAGAAAGAAAAUUUUCGAAGUCAUAAGAAGUUGUAAGUUUUGUAUAGAAUAUGAGGGUAUAUUGAAUAUUUAUCAAAUAAUGUAUUUAUAUUUAAUUAAAAUAUAAAAUCAAGGGUCUUACUAAGAUGAAAAAAAAUAAUGGACUUGGAGAAAUGUAAAUGUGUUUUGAGGGUCUCCCUAGUUAAGCCUUAAAACAACAUGUCUUCCAAUUUCAAGUAAACAUAUUUCGAUUAACUUUUUUUUCAACUGGGCAAUAAAAAGACGUCGUUUCGGCCAUUUUAAUUCUUUAUUUUUUUCAUUAAAAAAUCAUAAUUUUGAAAAAAAAAUCGGAUUUUCACUUAGGUUAUGAUACUACGGCUCAACCGGUUAAAACCAAACAUGACAAGACAAUGGUUCACUGUUUAACCAGUCCAACCGGUCGGUUCUGUCAGGAAAUUAAAACACCGAUAUUAAUACAGUUUGAUAAAUUUCCAAACCAUCACGCAGCUGCUUAUGCAGUGCCUUUUUAUUUUAUCUUUUCUAGUACAUAGUUUAUUCAACAAAAAAAAUAAAAAAUAAUAUAGCUUAUUAUCAUUAUUUUCUUAUCUUAGGUUUGGAGCAUUUAUUUUUAGAGAAAAUUAAAUCAUGCUACGAAUUAGAAAGUAGGAGAAUAACAUGAUUCAUUACUACUUUAAACUUAACGAUGAACUAGUACCAGCUUUUAUUAUAAUAUUAGUUUAAAUUUUGUAUACUGAACAAUGUUAGAAGUUGUGCUAAAAUUCAAAACAAUGAUAAAUAUUGGAAUAAAUUGAAUAACGGGUUUCAAGCGUGAUUCAAAUUGCAAUCGAAGUCUCUUCCAUGGUGUGAUUUGAUGAAUUGUUUUUAGGUUUUUCAACUUGGAAAAAUAAUAGUAAGGUUUAACUGCAAUAAUUGUUAGUUAAAGGGGUUAAAGUCAUAUUAAUGCAUAGUUGGAGGGGUUGAAAUUACAUUGAUGUUUACUUUAAAGGCGUUUGAACUUUAAUUAGUUUAGCAAGUGAUCAAAUAAAAAGGCCUUUUCCGAUCAAUUGUAAUCUCUCCAAUCCCCAGAUUAAACCCCGUCGGUGGCAGUUGCAAUAUCGAUGCCCACCGUCGGCGCCGCCGCCACCGCCACCGGCCGUUAUCCCUCGCCGUAUUCUUUCUCGGCGCACGGUAAUUGGAGGAUGGAGCUGGUGAAGAGGAGAUGGGAAAAUAACAGGCAUUCCAACAAUACGACUACUGUAUUGGUUAAUGUGCUCCGGCUAUCUUCGCCGCCGUGGUUAUGGUGGUGGGAGAUAUACGGAGUUAAUUGGAUGUGGAAUUUCUUCAUAGGAUGGCUAUUUCCAGAUUGUAAGCCAUUAAAUUUACUGUUUUGAUGAAUCAUAUGAAAAUGCAAUUGCCUUUAAUUUCUCUAUGCUUUUUUUUGAUAGCAAAAUUUCGAGUACUUUGGUCGAAUUAAUUGGGGAACCUAAUACCUAAUUGAACUCUUGGGAGAUUCAUAUUUCCAGUGGUUUUUUUUUUUCCGUUUCCCUGUGAAUUAUUAUAUCAAUGUAUAAGUAUAAGUGAUUAUAUGAUUUUUUCGUAAAAAAAGAAGUGAUUAUAUGAUUAAUACCUAGGAUUAACACCAAUUGUUGCUCCUUAUUUAGAACUCGUAUUCUCUAUAGGAAAUUACUCAUCCAAAUAUUUAUCUCAUCUUCUUUGUAACUUGAUGGUUCCUACUAAUUUUGCUUCUCAUUAUUUGAAGGAAUAUGGGGCAUGAUCGAGAGCUGGUGAGAGAUGUAUUUUCAGUAUCAGGUAAUAUUUUAAUCUGGAUGUUGAAGAGUAGCCUUAGUAGUGUUUUGUUGAGUGUCAAAUAAUCAGAAAGUGCUUCAUCUGAUAUCAUAUAUAUGGAAGAGCAAAUAUCGCGGAAAUGAUUGCGUGACUUAGUUAUAUGAAAGAGCAUCUCGCUAUUGAGUUAUAUUAUGUUUUCAAUUACUUUUUUUCAAGUAUUGAUCAAAUAUAAUACACACAUUUCAAGUUACGAGAUGAGUUUCCAGGAUAUACUAUGAUUAACUUGAAUAAGUUCAAGAGAAAUUUUGUUUUAGGAAAACAAAAACUUAGAAAGAAAACGAGACCAGUCAAGAAGCCCUUGUACACUAAGAAGCCCUUGUUGUAGUUUCUUAAAAAAAAACAUUGGUCUUAUAAAUGGCCUACAACCCGUUCGCAAAGAGACUUGAACCCUCGACUUAAUACAAGAUAACAUACUUAAGAAAUGCAAGAUAAUCAUCAAAUAGGACUCUUUUGUGUGUCAUGGUAAUAAAACAAUUGAAAUUCUGGUUGCCUAAAAAUCCACUGAUUUCCACAGUUUUAAUAUGGCAAUGAUUUAUUGGUCACGAUGUACAGUCUUGAAUAUAAUAACUAAUUUGCUUAAGCAUUUAAGGAGUGCACCAACAUUAGAAGCCGCUAUUCAAUAAUAUUUUGUGAUCAUUUAGACGAUAAAGUAGUCGCAAAAGAGCUUUUUUAGCAAUGGUCUUGGGUUGUUCAGUCUUUGAGUUUUUGCUUUUUUCAUACAUAGGUAAACUAAAUUAAUGGCUCAAGGAAGUUCACAAUAGACUGUAUGGUACAUUUCAUAUCUCGCCAAAUGUCAUUUUGCUGCCAGCUAUGGUUGGUGUAAUUGCUAAUAUGUAAAAUUAGCUGGCAUCGUCACUGGAUAUGAAGCAAUUUAUUAGGGGUCGAUACAAUCAAUGCUGACCUUAUCGGAUUUACUGGCGGACUUUCCCACAAAUAAAUUUUACCCUACCCUCCCUACUCCCUAUUCCCAUUCUACUUUCUCACACAUUCUCUGCAUCUCUCAAUACCUUGUUCAAUUUUCGAUCUCCAUCUCCUCAUUUUCUCUUAUCAAAGGUUCAAACUCAGAGGAGUUUGUGAUCUGAUUUAGGUGAUUUUACUUCAUUUUGUGUUUGUAUGAUGCCUAUGUUUUUAUGUUAUUUUUUGUUGGUUUUCCUUUUUUUCUUUCUUCGUAAACUAGAUCAACUGAGUGGUUACUAAUUUUCCAUCACUUUCAUGUUUCGUUUCAUGACUUACACGAUAUCUUUUAUUUUAGAUUAGAAAGAACAUGUGUUUGUUCUCAUCUUGAUUUUGAAGAUAGAUUUUGGACUAGUUAUUUUAUUCCUCCUUUUGGUGGUUGUUUUAGUGGUUAUGUUGUUCAAACUAACAAUUUUGGAAAACUUUUGUUACGUAAAUAAGGUGGGUUUAAUCUCUGCUUGUAAUUAAAACAUAAAAUAAUAAAUUACAAGUAGAAUGGAGCAACCCUUAUGAAGAAACCAAUAACUACUAUGAUAUUUACUUUGCAGUUUGUUUCUACUUGAUUAUGAGCCAUUUGAUUAAGCUGUUAAACUUGUACUCAUAUAUUCUCGAAUAUUAUUCUUUUGUCUCUGCUGUAACCCAUUUCUUCAAAUAAAUGUACAAAUGCUUAGUGGUUUAAAUUUGGUUGUUAUUCUCUGCUAGUCUUUAGGUUACAAUACAUGCAUGUCUUGAAAUAACUUCAUUCUCUCAUAGAUUUUGUAACCUUUAAAAAAUAUUUUCCAGCGUAGGCUAUCUAAACAUAUUAACAAUUUAAUUUUAAUUUUUGUAAUAUUUAUUUAACAGAUUAUGGAGAAUUAGGACCAGUUUCAUUGUCAGUGUGCAUAAGUAGUAAGUAGCAAUAAUAUAAAAUAAUUUUCUUCUUUCUAAAAUGUCCUUAAGGAAUGCUAAUUCUAGAUUUUCUUCCUGGAUUACUCCAAUUUACAGGCAUGGCAAGUUAAAAAGUUUUUUUGGUCGGUGAAAAGGAAAAUUAUUUAUAUAUUCUGUUGAUAUGCAUAAGUAGUAAGUAGCAAUAAUAUAAAUAAAUUUCCUAGAAUGUCCUUAAGGAAUAUAAUUCGAGAUUUACUUCCUGGGGCCCUCCAUUUUACACGCAUGGUAAGUAAAAACGUUUUUGGUCGGUGAAAAGGAAAAUUAUUUAUAUAUUUUGUAAAUCUGCAUAAGAUUAUACUAAUAAGCAUAAAAUUGCAAUAGUCAGUAUUAGAUUGCAGUAAGCAGUAUCGGAUUACAGUAAUCAACACAAUUUUCCUUUUUUGCUGGUAAGACAUCCUUAUUUGGUCUUCCCUGGAACAAUUAUGCAUACAUUUUUGCCAUUGCAGUUAAGAGAACGCGGUGCCUGAUUGAGAAAACGAUUGAAAAACAAGAUUUACAAAGACAAUUAGGAGUUGAAAUGAUGCCGUGGAGAAGUACAAAUGAAGAUGCAUCUUCUGCUGGAAAUAUGCAGAUGAACGAACCCAACUUAAAGGUAAAUUAGUAAUGUUAAUUGUGACAGAUCUAUCUGAAAAAAAAUGUGCCUUCCGUGUAUUCUGUAUAUCAAUCAAGUUUUGAAAUCUAUCAUAUCCUUGACCAUUACAUAACUAUGAACAACAUUUUAUUCAAAAGUGAGGACAAUGAGUUCCUGUGUUAAUACUUUUUUCUUUGGGUGUGGCAGAGGAAAAGAAGUGAUUCAAAUAAUUGCCAUCAAUGUCGCAGAAACGACAAAGGAAGAGUCGUAAGAUGCACAAGGUGCAAUAAAAAGGGUUACUGUAUUACAUGCAUCACAAAAUGGUGAGGAAUUGUGUUUUUUUUUUCGUUCCCAUUUUUCAGCUCUAUAUUAUGGUACUAACGUCUUUUCUUAUAACAAAAAUCAUUGGUUGGAAACAUGUUUUGAAGUAAAUGAAUCAAAUGUUUCCACACUAGAAUUAUUUCCUGCACCCUCAUGCUUAUAGUUAUAAAUGUGGAAGAUAAACAAUUACACGAUGACAUUCUUUUUUGUUCGCCAACUAUUGCAUAUUUUUUCUCUCCGUGUACUGAUAGCAUGAAAUAAUUAGUUGCUUUGUGUUUUCUGCCAUAAUAUUUGGUUAAAGUUUCAUCUGCACUACAACUAUUCAGUUUCACUGUUUGAACAAUAUUGUAUGAAUAAGAUUGUAUUUAAUUCCAUCAUGUCAAUCAUAUCAGUUCUGUUUUGCUUUUGUUGCUUAUAUGUUGUGGUAUACCUUAAAUCUUUGUUUUAUCUUUUCUCUUCAAUGUCAAAUUAUUUGGUAAACUGCUUCAUGUUUUUUGAGACUGAAAUGUACUUAUAAUUUCUGAAUUGUUCUUUAGCAAACUUGAUUUUCGAUUUUACUGCCUAAACGGUAUAUUUAUUAUCUUCUCUUUGGAAGAUGGCAGUCCAUGCCCUUUCCGGUUGAGGCAUAUCUUAUACUCAUUUUUACAGAACUUUGCUUAAAUGAAUCAUCAUGCUUAUAUUGAUGUUUUUUCGUCAAUGUUCUUGCAUAUAUAUUUACUAUAUCUUUGUGGUAAUUACAGGUAUGCAGGGAUGCAUGAGACAUAUUUUGCUGAAGCAUGCCCCAGUUGUCGCAACAUUUGCAACUGUACAGCUUGCUUACAGUCUGAUGUGGCUAAUCAAGUUCGUAUUGAAGUACACUUAUCUUGAUUUUAUCUUGAUAUAGAAUUAUAUAUUUUUUAAUUAUUUUAUUGUUCUUGCAUGUUAGGAAUUGGUGAUCCCAGACCUUUGCAUCAGUGACAAGACUCAGUACUCAAAGUAUAUUGUUCGAGUACUUCUUCCGUUCUUGAAGAACUUUGUCACUGAGCAAAAUAUGGAAACAGACCACGAGGCCAGAAUUCAAGGUAAUUUUAACUUUUGUUAGGAGUUUUGAAGUUCACCCGGAUUACACUUUUUUUUUGGAAGCUUAGUUUGCAUUCGCUGCCUGAAAAGAAAGUCAAAGAGUCUUAGAAUGGUGUUUAAUGCGAUGUAGAACUCGUCAAUAUCUUCAUUUUUGGAAAUUUCAGGGACAUCUAACAAUAUUAUUUUCUGCGGUGUAGAAGUAUUAAGCAUAUCUAAAGUUCAUGGUUACGACUUGUUUCCAUAUCAAUAAUAGUUUCACUGCUGGAUGAAAUACAAUAUUUUUUUGGUUGGACAGGCUUAUCGGUUGCAGGACUACGGCUUCCCAAAGCAAACCAUAGCCAUGAAUAUCAACUGAAAAAAUGGUGGAUAUUUCGAACUAAUUUCUUUUCUUGAUAAUUCUCUGCUCCAAUAUGCAAAAUGUUGAUUUUAGAACUUAUUAUGUGCAGCGGUAAUUGCAAAUCUUCAGUAUUUGAUAUUCACCGAAGCUGCCCAAACUGUUCAUAUAAGCUUUGUGCGAGCUGCUGCCAAGAGAUUAGAAACGGCUUUGUUUCUGACUGUAAACUGACAAAUAACGGUGACAUUAUUUGUCCACCUCAAGGCAUGGGGGGCUGUGGUCCGAGGAUUCUGGAGUUGAAGUCCACGUAUCCAGUUAACUGGAUAUCGGAACUGCUAACAAAAGCAGAAUCCGUAGCUGAUGGUCAUGAACCUUCUGCACGAGCAUGCUCAUGCUCGGGAUACAAUCAUGGGAGUGAAUCGGAUAACUUCCAUUGUCCCAUUGUUGAGGGCGUUGAAACAGCGGACCAAAAACAUUUCCAAUGGCACCUAUAUAAAGGUGAGCCUGUAAUAGUCCCUAACGUCCUCAACAGAACGACUGGGUUGAGCUGGGAACCGUUAGUCAUGUGGCGCGCCUCUCGCAAAAUUAAAAGCACCCAUGACUUGCGUAUUCUGGAAUUCAGCGUAAUGAACUGCUUAAAUUGGUGUGAGGUAAGUCAACUUCUCUAGUAUGUUUUACCCUAUCAGAAACGCAUAUAAUCCGGAUUAUGUGAUUUGGAUUCCUCAUUUCUCAUCCUUUUGUUAGAUUAUCUAAUAAUUAAUUUUCUAAUAUAGCCUUACAUCGGUUUACUUUUGUUUUCGUGUUGCAAUAAUUUGAUUUUGGGACUAUGACAUGCAGGAAACAAUUAGCAUACACCAAUUUUUCAAAGGAUACACUCAAGGCCUUUGGGACAGUGAAGGUCGGCCCAAAAUAUUAAAGUUGGAGGAUUGGCCUCGAACUGAAUCAUUUGCAGAACGACUGCCGAGGCAUUACCAAGAGUUUGUCAAAUGCUUGCCUUUCAAGCAUUAUACUCAUCAAGCUGGCUACCUCAACAUGCCAGCUAAAACACCAAAGAAAUCUUUGAAGCCAGAGUUGGGUCCAAAGAUAUGCUUUGGUUAUGGAGUCGAUGAGCACCUUGGCUUUUGUUCCGCAACCAAGCUCCAAUAUGCUCUUUCAGAUAUGGUACAUUUUUUCUACAUUUUUUCUGUUAUAUCUAUCUUUAUUAAAUUGAGUGUUAUUUUCCCAUUAGACUUCCUAGUGCAUCGUUAAAUCCCCCGAGGAGAUUUAGCGAUGUGUUAGCAUCUUAUGUGGAUCUUAAGGAUUGAUAUUGGCGAAUUUUCACCAAUCCCCAAAUAUAUUGAUUCCACAAGCAAUCAAUGUUUUUUUUUUUUUUUUUUUAUUUGGGAGUGUCAUUAUGUUAAUGUUCUUAGGAAUUUGAUAUUGGUGAGCUACUACCAACCACUAAAGUUCAUGUUUUAGAAAGAAUUUUAAUACAAGAAAACUUAAUUUUUGCAAUGCAUAACUAGCACUCCUAAAUAGGAUGUUUUUUUUUUUUUUUUUUUAUGAUUUUUGUUUCUUAUGUGGAACAAUCUUUGUUUUUGUUAAUCUUAAUUGUUGACUCAUACGCAU
This 54137-nucleotide long non-coding RNA is filed under the name Erythranthe guttata (spotted monkey flower). RNAcentral's name for it is "long non-coding RNA (EGUT_LNC000809)". The record is from RNAcentral. Lineage: Eukaryota; Viridiplantae; Streptophyta; Magnoliopsida; Lamiales; Phrymaceae.